This 59723-nucleotide long non-coding RNA is filed under the name Ananas comosus (pineapple). RNAcentral's name for it is "long non-coding RNA (ACOM_LNC021620)". Lineage: Eukaryota; Viridiplantae; Streptophyta; Magnoliopsida; Poales; Bromeliaceae. The record is from RNAcentral.
GUUGGAACAAGGUUAAGUAUGGUCUAAAUUUAAUUCUAAUUAUGGUAUUAAAUUAUUAAUUAAUAUAAUUAAUAUAUUUAAAUCAUUAUUUAUUGUUUAAAUAAUAAAAUGAUUUAUUUAUUUAUUAUAUAAUUAAUUAUUAAUAAUUUAAUGUAUUUAUCUAUAAACUAAUAUAUUUAUAAAGAUCAACCAUUAAUAUUUCUAUUAAUCUAAUUAAACUUUUUUAUUGGUUAUCUAGCUAAAAUAAUUCACUAACUAAUUAAAAAAUUAAAUUAUUUUUUAUAAUUAAUUAAUUAAUUAAUUAAUNAUUAUGAUUUGGGUUAAACCGGAACUCCCGUAUGUUAUAUAUUUAUAUAUAACUUAAUGUAAAAAUGUUAAAUCACGUACAUCCAUCAAAUACGUGUUCAGAUACAUGCCAACCGUUAUAUCUACCAUAUCUUUAUAAAUCAUUUUGAAUAGAUCAAUUGUAUCUUUAGGCAGUGCUUGGUUCGGGAACAAGAGGGGAACAAGCCCUUAUUCCCCUCUUUGUUUCUGAACACUGAAGGAACAACCUAAUUUUCAUGUAAAUUAUUUUAAAUUUAUUAAUUAAAUUUACUACUAAUAAAUUUAUUAAAUUAUUUUUAAGUAAUAUUUUGAUAUUAAUUAAUUAGAUAAAAUAAUUUUAAUUUAAAAUUAUAACUCUUAUUUUUCUUGUUCCAAUCUAACCAUCCAAACACUAUUUACCUUAUUCCUAACAAUAACCCCAAUUUUCAUUUAAAUGUAAAAUUGGUUUAAUUCUUACUUAUACCUGAGCUUGCACAUAUUCCUGAAAUAAGCAGUUCUUAUUUAUACCCGAAUGAAACGCAGCCUUACUUAGGGGUGCAAACGAGCCGAACACGAGCGAGCACGGCCUUAUUCGUAUUCGGUCGUAUUAGAUUCGAGCCGAAUUCGAGCUGACUCGAAUUAAUUUCGAGCCAGAAUAAGACCCUUUCGAGUUCGGCUCGAAAUCAAAAUCGAGCCAAAUUCGAGCAGCUCGAAAUAUUUUUUUUAUUUUAUUUUUCGAGCUAAUUUCAAGCCAUGUUCAAAUUUGGCUCGGAAUUGUUUGAUUCCGAGCCAGCUCGUUAAUAGCUUGAAAUUCUUUAUUUUUCUUUACUUUUUUCAAUUUUAAAUGUUUAUGAAUAUUUGCCAAUAUUACAUUAUAUAAAUUUAGCUACAAUCCAAAUAAAACUACAAUCAAUAUAAUUAUAACCAACAUACGUGCUUAAAUGCACGCAACAAUUAAAAAAAAUCUCAAGAAUAAUUUGAAAUUUGAAAAUAACUUACAUCUCUAUAUUGGCUCCCAUUUCCAAUUGCUUGAAGAUAAAUAGAGCUAUUUUGGAGAUAAAAAGAAAUUAAGCAAAUUUCGAAUUAAAAUAUAGAUUCACACUAGAUAUCUUUCGGCUGGUAAAAAUUUGGAUAAGUAUAUUUUUUUUCUAUUUUAGAGAUAAAGAAAAAUUAAAAAGUUUGUUUCAUUACGUUAUUUAUUUUACGUAAGGAAAGAGAAAUCAAUUUUUUUUUUCCGCUAAAAAACUGGUCGGUCGAAAUUUGAAAUACGCGCGUGCUUAUAUAUACUCAUAAGAGUAUCGUAGCUCUAGCAUAUAUAUAUAUAUAUAUAUAUAUUCAAACUAUUUCGAGUGGAGCAUGAACAAGAAAAGCCUGCUCGACCUCGGUUUGAAAUUAUUUUCGAGCAAAAAAAUUUAGCUCGUUUUAUAUUUGAAAUUAAUUUCAAACAAGUCAUUUUCGAGCCUAUUUCGAAUCGAACGCAAGUUGGCUCGCGUGCGGCGAGCUAGACUUGCAGCCCUAGCCUUACUAUAUAAAGAGUAAUGAAUAAGCAACUCAAGCUAUGCAAAUUUUUGUUGCAAAAACAUGGGUUCUGUGGUGACCAAGUCUAAACCUCUCUUAAUUGCCCCAUCCAAACCAACCCCUAGGGGGAAACUCUCUCUCUCUCCAAUUGACAAGAUCCAAAUUUUGCAAUCCGUACUUAUUCCAUCUAUACAUGUUUUCGCACACGGCGAUAGUGGCAGCAGCGUUGAGAUAGUUAAUACGAUAAAACAGGCAAUAUCGGAAGCACUAGUUCUAUAUUACCCGCUUGCAGGUCGACUUAUGGAAGUAGGGGACGGGGACCUCUGCAUUGAGUGCAAUGGAGAAGGAUUAGGCUUCGUCGAGGCGUCGGCGGAUUGUAGCUUGGAGGAUGUGAAUUUCUUGGAGCACCCUUAUGUGAUCCCGUUGGAAGAGCUCGUAGUAGAUCAUCGCGGUUGGAGAGUAACCGAUCCUCCCGUCGUUAUGCAGGUUUCGUAUGACUACAAAGGUUCAUUAAUUCCUUAAUCGAAAAGAGUUGUAAAUAGUGGCGCGAUAAGUGUAGUUGUUUUUCUUUUAGAGAUAGGUAACACGCUACCCGCUUCGUUUAUUUUAUUUAGAAAUAAACUUAGCUAGAAAUGUGAAUCAACUAGGAUUUGAACUUGGGUCUCAGAUACCAACUACCAAACCCUUUGCCACUUGCUCUAGGGACGGUCGGUGAUAAGUGUAGCUGUUAUUUCAAGUCAUUUAUUGGUUAAUUUACAUUAAUAUAUGUUAUGCUUAGAUCUAAGCAUGGGCCGAGCGGCUGACUUGGACCGCUCGAGCCCAAAUCAUAAUGGGUGGUCUUGGGGUUCAUUUCUUGUUAGGCCCAGCCCAGAAUAUAAACGAGUCUUAUAUUGUUUGGAUUUGGAUUUGGAUUUAGCUCUCAAAAACCUAGCUUGAGAUGCGUGUGGCCUAUGAACAGCAGGUCUAUUUAUGACUAAUCUUUUGGUGUAUUUUGUUAGUAAGCAUACAAAUUACUUACAUUCACCAUGCAUAUAUAGGUAACCAAAUUCACCUGCGGUGGAUUCGCCGUCGGCUUUGCAUGGCACCACUCACUCUCCGACGGCACCGGAGCUGCACAAUUCUUGAAUGCUGUAGGCGAGCUCGCUCGCGGCCUCCCACGCCCAACCGUCAACCCGAUUUGGGCCAGGGAUUCUCUCCUCGAUCUUCCCCCGAAAAUGCCCUCAUUACCUUUAUGGACUCCGAACUUACUCGAGUUACGGUGCUCCGAGCUGAACAUGCCCUUAGAUUACAUCAAUCGAACUAAGGAAAACUUCUUUCGACAAAUUGGACAAUCGUGCACCACAUUUGACGUGGCCUUGGCCACAAUUUGGCAGUGUCGGACACGAGCAAUAGGCUUAGAACCUACUGAACCAGUGCAGGUGUAUUUUGCGGUGAAUGUCCGCGAAAUGCUACAAGCUCAACCAGGCUACUACGGAAAUAGCAUUUUCAUCCAAACCGCCUCAUCGACUAGUCAGGAGAUUGCAAAGGCACCUAUUGUUGAGAUUAUUAAAAUCAUUAGAUCUGCCAAGGGUACGGUUUUGACUGAACUAGCUAAAUGGAAGAGGGGCUUACUGAAAUGCAGCCCUAUGGAGCAUGUUGAUCUCAGCUACAACACGCUUGGCAUAACUUAUUGGAAAAAUUUAGGGUUCGAGCACGUCGAUUAUGGAUCAGGUAAGCCGUUUUUGGUGACCGUACAUAAUGAAUAUAAGUUUGUCUCCUUCUGCAUACUAGGUUUACCGCAUACUCGCGAAAAUGGGGUUUAUAUAAAUGGACGCAUUGUUAAGAAGGAACACUUAGAAGCAUUCCAUGAAGAAAUGAAGCUGCUAGAAUAAUUUCAAAGGAAAGAGGGUUUUCAUCACCAAUAAUAAUACGAAUGGUUUGUACCGUCGAAUUAGUUCGAUCGCCUUACGAUCGAAAAUCAAUAAAUGCCUUGUAAUUUUUAGAGAUUCUCUAACUCUCUAAAAGGAGUACGUGCAUAUGGCUUGCAUAUCUAUAUAUGUAUUUUGUUUGUAGCACACAAAAAUAAAAAAAGAAUGAAAUUUGUUAUGGUAAUUACUUGUGUUUAUUUCUUUGCUUUAAAAUUAAUAGAGGAAUUUCAAAACUAUAUACUUUAACUUCAACAUCAUAAAACAUACCCAAUGUGUUACACACCCAACUAUUUAAUUAAUUAAUGUGUUGCAACUCGUUUAGCUCUAUAUAUUAUAAACAUAAUGCUCCAUAUCCUCAUAUAAAAACAUUAUCUUCAAAUUUUAAUAGUAGAGAUCACUAGCUAGCUCCUUGGAUGUUGCCAUUUAAACCAACACAUAUCUUUUCUAAAUCUCCACAAUAAUCAUUCAUUUGAAGCCCUUAAAACAUGUCACUUAUAUAUAUAUAAUAUAGGCAUUACAUAAAGGAGCUUUUGCUACAUAUAUAUACUAUUAUUCUAUAAAUAAGUCACCAUCUUGUGUGUUUUAUUUAUUUAUUUUGUUUCCAUCAAUCCAUCAUUACCUUGGAAUUCCAUGAUCUGACCCACCAACAAUCAAUACAAGAUUGAUUACUCCCCAAGCAUAUUUUUCCUCCUUUAUUAAUUGCUUUUGUACCCUUUUGUCUUAACCUUAAUGGGGCUACUCUUUGGACUUGCUUGGGAUUAUUAUUAUUUGAGUAGAAUUACAUACAAAAUAGGUGAUAGAUUUUCUAAACUCUAGCUCUUUGGUAAACAAGCAUCUGAAUUUUUAAUUUAGCAAUUAGAUAGUCUAAACUUAAUUAGUAAAAUAGUAUAAUAUAAGCAAAAGUUUCAAAUUGGAACUUGCUUUUAUAGCUAAGAAGAUCAUUUUAGCUUUUUGUUAAUGUAAAAGUUUAAUUAAGACAUUUUGUCUACCAAAUGCUUUUGUAAAACAGCUGUUUAUCUUCAGAAUAAGAUUACACUACUAGAGACAGAUGUUUAAAUAUUUUUUAUUUAUCUUUUGAUAGAUUCAUGACAUGGGCUUAGAUUUAAUUAGGAAAAACUAAAUGAGGUUAAUUAGGCAACUAAUAGGAUUUGAACUCAUAACCUCUUAGAAACUUUUUUGAACUUCUAGUAGACCCUGAAACUGGAUAAGAAAUAAAUAAGAAAAAACUUAAAUAAGACUAGGUCUGGUUCAUUCGAACUUAUGAUCUCCAGAUUUGAUAUGGUGUAAAAUAAUUAUUUAUUUUUUAAAACAACAAACUAUUGGAGAACGGUGUUUGGGUUCUAAGUUUCUUAUAUUCAACAUAUAUAUGAGAGGGCCCUACUUUUGUUUAUCUUUAUAUAAAGUUAGAAAAGAAAAGGACUUAAGCACCAUAAGAGCAAUUACUUGUGAACUCAACUAAGAGAUCUAGUGGUGAAUUUCAUUAGGCCAAUUAUGGGGGGUUUUGACUAGCCAUCCUAGGUUGUUAGGAUUAGAAGUAAAACUUACUCUACACUUUAAAUUUCUUUUUAACCUUCCACAAAUAUGGUAGUCAAUUAAUGGCUUCUAAGAUUAUAUUAACAUACAAAUCACACUUCACAAAAUCAAAUUCUAGUGUUCAUGUGUAGUGAGAGAGAGAGAGAGAGAGAGAGAGAGAGAGAGAGAGAGUAUAAAGCAUAAGAUGUUCUUUUUUAAGAAAGAAUAGUAUUUAGCAAAUUAAGUUGAUUAAUGGCCAAAAAAUACAUUAGUUGGGUGCAUGGUUGUUGUUUGAUGUGGAAAAGCUGUUGAGACAUUCCAAUCACUUAUUCUUUUCAGAUAAUUAAUUGAAUGCUUCCUCCUCCUCUAUUCAAUGCCUAGUUUUAGCAUGUGCAUUUUCUACAGUUCUGUGAUCCGUAUCUAAUAUCAUACAAAUAUUUUAUUAUAGAUGGACGACAAGAUCAUAUGAUGUAUGCAGACACUAAAUCAAAAUGACAUUCAUUAUCUACACUAUUUAUUUUAUUUUAUUUUUUUUUCUAAGUUGCCUGUAGGCUCCAAACCCCUUAUUUUUGACAUGCAGAUGCGAGUAUUCUAAUCCUAACCUGUAAAUAGCAUAUCAGAUAACAACCAACUAUUCUAGAUAGUGAAAAAAAAAACCCUUCUCGAUCAAUAACCAUUAUUUUAUAUAAAAACAACGACAUCCAAUCAAAAAUCUUCGUAAUGCACACAAGUACCCAAAAAAAUGUUAUUAAACAAGAUAAUUUUAAUACAUAUAUAAUUCUAAGCACAAAUUCCUAUAUGCACACGAGAGUUGUGGGUGUUGGUGUGUAGGAGCUAUAUAUAAAUAGCAACCUCAUGAGGCUCUUAGACAAGGCCAAAAAUGCCCACCAAAUUGCUUAAAUUUCUUCUUUGUCUCUACAUACAUAUGGAGAGGUAAUUUUCUUAAUUUGUUUCUCUUCCUUUAUUUUUUUUCUAACAAAGAAAAAAAAAUCGACAUUAAGAAACAUCAAGGAGAUAUACAUGUUAUGCAUGCUUUAAUAUUCGUGAUUAAUUACCUUCAUAUAUUUCUUUGUUGUACCACUCAAUAACUUGUCAAGCCAUGUAUAAGUCUAUGAAAGUGGUAAAAAAAAAAAAAGAAAAACGAAAAGAAAAUGAAAAGUUUUGAUCGGAUGAUUAUGUUCUUGUAAAUUAGAUUCUUAAUUAAGAAGCCUUUACUUUAGAUUAAUGUAUCAAUUAAUCGAUCACUAGAAGUUAUUAAUUUUCUUCUUUUUUUGGGUUUUCUUUUUUAAGAGAGAUAUGCGCGCUAACUUAAGUGCAUGUUUAAUUAGUCCUUCAAAUAACUUAGCACUAGAUGAUGAUGAUGAUGAUGAUAAUAAUAAUAAUAAUUAAAAAAUUGUAACUAAAUGGCUAAUUUAAUUUCAUCUAUUAAUUGUCUUUGACUAUUCUCAUAUUUGGGAAACUUUUUCUAGAGAGUUUAUGCUCUUGUUUUCUAUGAACCUGAACUCUAACCAAGAGGGAAUAUGUAAACUAUUCCCACAACUAAAUUUUAAUAUUGUUAUUAUUAUUUUUAUUUAAAUGUUCUCUAGUGUCAUAUUUAUGUAAUUAAAAUUAGGAACUCUACAUGGCAUAAUUCCCUUAUUAUUUUUUAGAAACUUUCUUCAUUAACCAGCUUUAUUAUGAUCAAUAAUUUAGUAACAAAUUUAGUAUAUAUGCUUCUCAUCUCCUUAUAAUAAAUAUGUUAAGAGAUUCAAUUGUCAUCUAGAUUUCUCCCUCUUUUUGGUUUUUGUUUUUCCUUUUUGUUGUAGUUUCAUUUUGGUUUUCCUUUUUUGGUGAUCCAUUGGUGAAAGAAAAGGUUUAAAAUAGGCCAAACAUAUGGGACUUGGGCACAUGCUUUGGCAACAUGUAACACUUUUAUUAAUUAAGGGACAAUGCAUGGCAUCUAUAUAGCUAAUCUAGGUAUUAUAGGUAUAUUACAUACAAAUCAAAAACUAUACAUAAAAGUUAUAGCUAGCCCUAGAGGAUAGGUUAUUGCUCGACGCUUCGAGAAAAGCUAAGGUUUUGUGCUGUAUUAGCUUCCAAAUCGCUCUCGAGAUAUCGAGGAUUUGUACGUUUGGCCAAACACAAUCAUCCCCCUUUAUCGAUUCGCCUCUUUGUUUACUGUACAAAAGUGUUGCUGAAGCUAGAAGUGAGAGCUUUUAAUCGAAUUAGAGUUUUUCGAUUUCGAAAGUUACAUAUGGGGGCGUAUUUUGAGCCUCUUGCUUGAGAUAGACAUGCUUAAUUUUCAUCAAAAAUCAUGUCUCCUUCUUAAUUAAUCCUCAAGUAGAAAAGCUGUUUCAAAAGGUAGAAAAGUAGAGAUGACAGUACGUGGGCCGGGUCAGGUAUGGAGCAUGUUACGACGAGCGCACGAAUAGAAAAUGAAUAUAAAUGACGAUCACAAAGUAGACAAACCACAAACAGUAAAAAAAAAAAGAUAGAACACAACAAUUUACAUGAAAAACCCUUUGUAGAGAAAAAAAAAUCCAUAGGUAAAGGAAGAGAGAACUUCACUAUACAAAAAAAGAAUACAAUAGUGUGAGAAGUCUAAUACGCUAUAUCGCCUUUAGGGCAAAAAGAAGAAAGAACUUUCUUAACGGAUUUGCUCAAAUCGCUUCCACCGCAGGCAUUUCCUUUUUUCUUCACAAAUCGAUUUUCAAAAUUUGUCACACCACGAAGUUGUCGAAACCAAAUUUUGAGGCAUAUCUAAUAGAGCAUACUAACUUGUUUUGAUUAAUUGGGUAGGGUACACAAAAUUUGACUUAGGCAAACUUUUUUUUUUUUUCAAAUGUGACCAAAAAAUUCAAACAUGUUUAAAACAAGAAAAGAAGCAAUAAUAUAGAAAAAAGCACUGGUGCCCAUUGUAGAUAGUGUGCAUUUUUUUGAUUGUGUAGUUCAAACAAAGCUUUUGCACCCAUGUUUGGGUCUACAUGGAAGAUCCUAAUUGUAGAAGGACAAAUUAGAGGAGCCAAUUGAUUGGCAUAGUUAUAGUGUCAUGUGAAUCGAGGAGAAAGGUACAAGUUUGGUGAGAGAAAAGGGUACUAGGUAAGUAUAUAUAUAUAGACCUAAUAAAUAUUGUAUAAAAAAAGAUCAAUGAGGGUAGUGUCUUAUAUUUAUUUCACACUCAACUAACCAUAAUAUGAGGCCACCUUUUGUUGGCUUUAAUUUAAAGUCACUUUGUAUUCAAGUCUUAACUCUAGAAAUUUGUUUUGUGAGAUUUUAUAUAUAUAUAUAUAUAUAUAUAUAUAUAUAUAUAUAUAUAAUAUGAGGCCACCUUAGCUUGUUUGGCUUGUUUAGAGCUUUAUACAUUUGUUGUUUAAAUAUAGCUGUUUGAAAAGUAGUUCGAAAAUUUUGCUCGAAUCCGGCCAAAAGUGGUUGACGUUAAGUUAAUAUAAGUUUUUCGAUUAUGAGCAUUUGCUUUUGGAACUCAAAAUCUCAUUUUCUCUUUUUAUCAGAAUAAAGGAGUAUUGUUUAUUUAUACGAACACAGUCAAUUUUUCUACUUACAAAGGAUUUCCUUGAAUUGGAUUACUAUAUGUCUAUUGUCAGUAUAGUUGGUACACGAAUAUUAUUCUUUUAUAGUAUAUCCACAAACUGGCUUACUGCUUAAUUAGUUACUGCUUUAUUUUUCUAUGGGACUAAAUAAAUUCUAUUAUAACUAAAUCGUCACGAUCGAUCUCCAUAAUGUGAUAUCUUUUACAGAAACAACCUUGAUGUAGUGCCAUUGCACUUCCUUACCAUGCGUAUGCAUCCUCCCCAAAAUUCCAAACGGAGCCUUCCUAGGGUUAGGCCUCAUUAACAAUGCGGGUUGACCAUAUUGCAUUAUGAUCAUCAUCAACCAAAACAAAGUUAAAAAAAAAAAAAAAAAGAAGAAGAAGAAGAAAAAUUGAAAUGACAGAAAAAUAAAUGUGAUCAAAACUGUAGGUAGGGGUCAACUAUAAAUUAUAUCCUUGUCUCAUAAUGUACAUAAAAUUGCACAGGGAUAUGUUCUUUUCCUUGUCCUUGUCUGGCUCUUUCAGAGACAGCUAAGUAGUUAGGUUGGCCCAAUAGAUUAAUUAAUGUACUUUGUAGCUUACACAUAUAAUACUAUGAUUAGCAAAAAUUAGGGUGGUGCAAAACUCAAAGUAUCAACUAUAUUCUAUUUGAUUGUGAAGGGAAAGUUAACUGUGAAACUUGUGAUCACAUUAACAAGGACAUGAUCUACAUGGUACUUUGGUGAUGCUAAUGAUUGAGCAUCUUAUGUAUAUGUACAUGAAUUUAGAGUAUUCAUGGAGCAUCUACUUCCCACCUACUGAUAAUAAGUUGUCGCAUAAUUAUUUUUAUUUACUAGCAUAGUCGAUAAGAAUAUUUUUAUUCACCUCAACGUACACUCUUUUGAUCGUUGAUAGGGUUUAAAGAUUUUAAGCACUAGCUAUUUUUUUACUGAAAGUUUACGAUAGCAGAGUACGGCAUUUUAUUUUAUAUUCAACGCUUGCGGUAUCCCUGUAGCAUUUAUGGAGCAUCUAUUUUAUACUUUUUUUUUUUGGCUUAAUUACUUUAGCAUCUUAUCAAUCUAUAUACAGUAUUAUAGAUAUAAUUUUAGCUUUUUUCCUAUAUUAUUUUCUUCCUUCUUAAAUAUCACUAAAAUAUCAUUUUCACUGAUCUCUACACUGUUGCGAACAAAUCAACUGUUUUAGACAGAAACUAUAUAACUACUUUACUAAGAGACAUUACUAAAUAGUAGGAAAAAAAGAAAAAUGACCAUUCCAUAAUAGAUUUAUCGAAAGCUUAUAUCAAGUUAUUUUCAGCUAUAUUUUCCACGGUAUUUCUAGUUUUAAAAAAAAAAAAUUUGUUAAAAUGGGUCAAAUAUAUGGUCUAUUAUUUUGAAUUAGUAUUUUUUGAUAAAACUACUAGUUUUCUCUAAAAUUGUAGAUUUAUUAUUUGCAUCGCAAGAAUUAUAAAAAAACAAGACAGUUUAGUGGUGUCUUUAAAAAGAAAUAGUACAAUAUAACAAAAAAAAAAUCUAAAAAAACUAAAACUAUAGUAUAGUGUAGUACAAUAUAGUACAGUUAAGCCUAUUUUUCUAUUGUUUGUUUAGACUCAAUAUCAAUUAUUUUUUUCUUUAAAACACCUUAAAUUAGUGGAGAAUAUUGUUCUAACCAAUAUUUAUUAUUCUCAACAAAAAGGGUGGGGCAUACUGUCCUGACCUUGCUCCUCACCUAGCUUACCCUCCCCCCUUCCUCCCUUCCCUCUCUAGCUUGUAAUCUCGGUUUUUUCUUUCUUCACUGUUUUCACCUUUUGCCGCUUUCGGAGGCCGUUGUUGCUUCCAUUCUGUACACUUAAUUCAUUCCGCUUUAUGAAUGAAGCAUGUAGCUUGCUAUUUUUUUCUCAAAAAAAAAAAAAAACAAAACAAAACAAAACAAAAAAGGUGGAGGGGAGGCACAAAAGGAAACUUCUGCAGGUCCACUCACACCCCACCAUUAUUCCUAGUCCAUUGAUCAUGUUCAUCCUAGCAAUAGCUAGCUUUUCUGUUCAUCCCUUGUUAGUGCCUUCACAUGAUUGUUGAAGAAUCUACCUUUUUACUUUUCCUUAAUCUAGUGGAUUAGGAAUCCGAAGCUCCCUUUUAUGUUUAAUAUAUAUUAUUAAUUAUGAGUACUGCAUACUAAUGCGUAUCUUAAAAGAUCUCUUUAAUUAGAAGCUGGUGAUCAUCGAUACUUUUCCUCACGUUUGGAUUCGAGAUACUUUAAAAGGCUCAGAACAUAAACUUAAUGAGACUAGAGUUUGACGAAAUUCAAGUUUAGAAUCUACAGCUCUGAUGUCAUGUUAAAAGCUAUAUAUUAGGGGAUGUUAGAUAUGUCUCGAAUUCUAGUUCCAUAAGGUUUUUUAACCCUAUUUUGUUUUGAUUAUCCCAUUAAGUUAAGUUUAGAUUAUGCCUAAUCUUAUUAAGAUAUUCUUAAUCUUAGUAGGUUUGUAUUUCCAGUUGUAUUAUGAUUUAACCACUAUUAUAAAUAUACCCUUUCUGCUAUUCAUUUGGUGCGGAAGAUGAGAGAGGGAAUAUGAGUGUAUUUUUUGGGAUUAGGGUUUUAUGAGAUAGACAUAUUUUGUACACCACUUUAAUUAUAAUGAAGAUCUCCGCUCCGUCUUCGUCCGUGGACGUAGGUCGGUGGCCGAACCACGUAAAUAUUGUGUGUUUUCUUUUUCUUCUCUCUUUCUCGGAUCUCUUUUGAUAUUUUCGCAUCCGACGAACUAGAUCUUUUCGGUUUUAGUUCCAAGAGAGGAAGUUGUUUUUAAUAUUAAUGUUCAACUGUUGUUAUCUUUUGUUUAUAAUUUAAAAUCUAUUUAUAUUCCCAUGAUUCCAGGUUCUUAUGCUUACCAAACCUCCUAUUAAAUCCCAUAGAAUGUGAAUCAGUGUAACAACAACAACUCUCAAAGUUGCAAAAGGGAAAUAAAUUAUUUAAUCAUACUGAUAGGAAGUCUCCUUCUCUCUUUUUUUUAAAAUUCUUUUCUGUACCUUCUCAUUAAAUGCUGUCUUUGUUUUUCUUUUCCUGAUCUAUAUGUGCAGAAAGUCCCCAAGUCAGAUUGUGAGCUGCAGAAACCAACAAACCAAAAUAAGAGCUCAGAACUGGUGGGUAUUUAUAAAAAAUUCAAAAAAAAAAAAAAAAAACCAUGGAGUUUUUCACUCUGUUUGUUUUCUUUUCUCUUCAUUUUUCUUACUCUUGGCCACUUUUUUUUGGGCAUCCCUUGUGGAUGACGAUAUUAAUAAAUUCAAGUAGUAUUACUACAGAUCCAAUAAAUCUGAUCUGCGACGUGUAGUAAAUAUGUACGUAUCAAUGCCGCUUCUUUCUUAGUUAUAUGAAGAUAUACAUUUCGGAUAAGCCGAGUAAACUAGAAAAUGUGAAAGAACAAGAGCUGCAUAUAUAUAUAUAUAUAUAUAUAUAUAUNUUGUUUUCUUUUCUCUUCAUUUUUCUUACUCUUGGCCACUUUUUUUUGGGCAUCCCUUGUGGAUGACGAUAUUAAUAAAUUCAAGUAGUAUUACUGCAAAUUGAAUUGAAGGGUCCAUUAUUUCUCUGCCACAGUCCUUUUUCAGAUAGAGGCAUUUCCCUCAGGCAUAAAUACAAGGAUUAAGUAACUCCAGCAGUGUGCAUCAAGUUAGCAGAGCAUUAAUUUCUUUACUAUGUUACCAAGGCCUUAGAAUUUUACCCUUUUUUUGUUUUCUGUUUUUUUGUUGUUUCCUCUACAUUGCUUUGAGCCAUUUUAUAGUACUGGAUUUUACUGCUGGGAAGAGCCAAAUGUCACAUCCAUCAUUUUAUGCCACUACCAUACCAGCACAAUCACAUCUUCUAGUUAAAAGAUCACUCAAAAGAGGAGGAGAAAAAAAAAAAAAGGUAAAUAAAACAUGAGGAAUACUUCAAUACAUCAUAAAUAUUAAAAUUUAAUUCUUAAUUAGUAAAGAAUAUAAUUGAAUUUUACAUGAAGUAACCUGUUGAACAGAUUAUCGAUUUGAAUAGUCAAUAUGACAAUAUUAGAAAAAAAUUAAUAAUAUAUAUCAAAUUUGUCAGCAUCCUAUAAAUAUUAAAUAUCUGAUUUACUUUGGUAACUUACCAAAUUAGAUAAUACUCAAUUUGUUAAGUAUCUAGCUCAAAAAACUAUUGAAUUUAAAUUUAAUUUUUGAAGUUGGUAUUGUAAUGUAAAUUUUAAUUUUGAAAUUUAUAUUAAACUUUUAAAUUUGAAUCUAAAUUGAACUUUUAAUUUUAAAGCCAAAUUUUAAUUUUUUGAUUUAAAUUGAAAUUUUGAAUUGGAACUGAAAGUUUUAUUUUAAAUUUGUGUUUUAUAUUUAAAAAAAAUUAAAUUUGAUUUAUAAUUAAGUUUUAAAUGUUGUUUUGAAAUUAAAUUUUACAAUUUGAUUGUAAUUUGAAUCCUACUAUUGUUGUAGGCAUUUGAAAAGGUCACAGUAUUUUUAGUUGGAUAAAACUGGUUUUGUAAACCAAAAGAUUUUACAAAGACCAAAAUACCUUUAAAUAGAUAUACCUGGUCAAUGGUACCUAUACUUCAAUAGUAGGUCACCUUUAGAGUAAUAUUAAAUCUAAACCAUCUAUUAAGAAAAAUAAAUUGUCGAGAUUUAUAUAGUGUAUUGAAGCAUUACUCAUAAAACAUAUAUAUUCAUCUCGUAGAUACCAGCUUGGGAUAUGCGAUAGUUAAUGAUUAGUUUAACUUUUCAGAAUAAAUAUUUUAGUGUAGUGUUUUUUUAAAAAGUUAAAAGGCUGAACCCCUACUAGUCGCUAUAUGCACUAUUAUAAUGCAUGCCGUCUCAUCAAUAGUAAAAUAAUUUUCAUAUAAGUUCCCCUUAAAUUUUUUUUUUAAUCUUUUUAUAUAAGUUCCUGAGUUUCAAUUUUCUUUUUGUUAUUAAAGUUUCUAUUUUAAUCUACAUGAAAAUUAAGCUUGUAGUCAUUAGUCAACCCUGAACAACCAAAAAAUCAGCAUUAAUUUCACCUUUGAUGAUGAUUACAGAAUAUUGCACAUGGAUGACUCCUCUUUUGUUUUUUUUUUGUUUUUUUGUUUAAGUUCCUUGCAUGACACAAACCUUGCUUUGUCCUUGUUUGUGUGAUCCCAGAUUCCUACUCAGAAAAGAAAAAAACAAAAAAAAUACAAAAACACAAAAAAAAAAUUGUGUUCUCAUCAGUGGCUCCACCCCUCCUUAGUCAACUGCUUGUGUCCCCCCCACCCUUCUCCACCCAUGGUGAUAGAGAGAGAGAGAGAGAGAGAGAGAGAGAGAGAGAUGCAGAGAGAGAAGAGAGAGAGAGAGAGGGAGGUAUCAUAAGAUCUCAUAAAUUCUCUCAACCACUCAACUAAACAGCUCCAAUCUUCUGCAACCAAAAAGGAAAAAGGAAAAAAGAGAGAGCCAUGAAGCAGGAGCUUAAGUUCAGAGAUGAUCAAAAGGCUUCAUCCCCAGCAGCAGCAGCAGCAGCAGCUGCUGCUUCCAGGAGUAGUAGAGCUUUUAGAGGCAGAAGAGAGAGCCCAAGAUCAUCAGAUUCUGCAAGUGCCUCCUCACCAUUUCUCAAAACCAGGCCAAAGCCACCCCCUCCUUCAGAACCACCACCCCCACCACCACCAACAAGAAUAAUAAGAUCUUCCACUUCUACUACUGCUGCUGCUGCUGCUGCUGCUGAUGCUGCUCAUGCAAACAAAAUGAGACCAAACAAUGAUCAUCACGAUCACCGGCCUGCCGCGGGGCGAUUCGCAGAGCAGUUUGCGCAGCUGCGGCCGGACGCGAGGGAGCUGCAGAGGAGGAGGCUGGAGGAGAGUGAGAAGGUGGUGAGGGAGUUGAGGGGUGAGGUGUCUGCACUGAGAGCUGAGCUGAAGAGGCUGCAGGGUGCCAAUUCUCAGCUUGAGUUGGACAACAAGAGGUUUGCUGACAACUUACUGGCUGCCCAGGAAAGGAUCCAACAGCUUGAGAUGCUGAAUCUGAAUUGUCAGGUAAAACAAAAAGUUUAUCUUGUUCAGAAAUCAAUCAUGGUAUCUUGUACCGCAUUCGUGUCGGGCCGAUUUUAGAUCUUUUCGGGUCGUGUCGUGUGUCGUGUUCUGAAACUGAGAAAAUUGAUAACCAUCUUUUAGAACAGUUCCAUUUCCUACAUAAAAUUGAUAACAAGUUAAUGCUCAUUUCAUUCUAUCCAAUCCAUGCGUACGAAUCCUUUUUUCAGGAUGCGAGAAAGUUCGCAGCGGCAGAUAAACUAGAACAACCGAAAGUAGAAGAUGAAACCGACACCGACACCGACGAAACACAGUUGGUGCAAUUGACGCAAAGAGCUCAACCUCCGGAACUCGCGAAACAUAAGGAAUUGAAUGCAAAGUCCUCUCCAACUCCUCCUCCUCCUCCUCCUCCGCCGCCGCCUCCUCCUCCUAUGUCGCGCCAAGCACCCCCCUCGAAGUCGAAUUCGGUUAAUAAAGCUACCGCAUUGGUUGAAUUGUACAACUCGUUGACGAAGCGCGACGGAAAGGACUCGAAGGGGAGUGGAAGCUACUCAAAUAGUGUUGGUGCCAAUCCCCAUCACAGUAUCGUCGGAGAACUCCAGAACCGGUCGGGACACUUGUUGGCAGUAGGUUCUCGGCGUUCUUCGAUAUGGUUGUGCUUGUUUUGUUGCGUUUUUCGCUUUUAAUGUUCUCUCAACUGCGUAAUUACUUGCGUAGAUAAAAGCAGAUGUGAAAACAAAGGGUGAAUUCAUUAGGCAUCUUAUCGACAGAGUCCGAUCCGCAGCGUAUACGAACAUGGACGAUGUCUUAGCGUUCGUGGAUUGGCUCGACCGAGAACUCUCGACAUUGGUAAUCUUCUCAAUUGUGCAUUUUUUGAGUCGAAAAGCAAUUACAAAGAAAGCAAGUUGAGCACAUGGACUUGUUAAUUCCAGCCUGAUCGGUUUUUUUCUGAUUCUUCGCAGUCUGACGAGAGAGCUGUUCUGAAGCACUUUGACUGGCCCGAGAGAAAAGCCGACGCAUUGCGGGAAGCUGCUUUUGAGUACCGAGAUCUGAAGCGCGUCGAAGCUGAAGCCGCUUCUUUCAGCGACGAUCCCUCGUCUCCGUGUGAGGUUACUCUAAAGAAGAUAUCGAACUUGCUAGAAAAGUAUGACAAAUCAUUCCGUUACUCCGCUUCACUAAUCUUACUACUGUUAUACUGUCACUGUCGAAAAUAGUAAGCACGGAAAUGAAAUUUCUUAUAUAUAUAUGUUUUUUGUUAAGUAAUUUUCGACAUUGAUUUUAGGUUGGAGAAAAGCAUGAAUAGGCUGAUCAAGUUACGGAACUCGAGUAUGCUCCCUUACAAAGAGUGCAAGAUUCCAACAGAGUGGAUGCUCGACUCAGGAAUUGUUAGUACGGUACGUGCGUACGUUAGCUGUCAUUUCGACCAUUUUUUGCUUGAGAUUUCAAUCCAACAUAUGUACUCUAGUCGCAAUCUGCGUGUUAAGUGAUGAUACUUGAACUGUUGUUUGCUUUUCUCCCUCAGAUGAAGUUGGCUUCGAUGAAACUUGCUAAGGUGUACAUGAAGCGCGUGGUUAUGGAGCUCGACACGAAUAGGAGCCCAGAAAGGGAAACGGCGCAAGAAGCGCUUCUCUUUCAGAGCGUACGCUUCGCUUACAGAGCACACCAGGUAACAUUUGCUACUCAGUAAGGAUUCAGGACCCAAGAACACACAUGUCAGUAAUCUGACGGAAUUUCAAUUGUUGUAAUUUUGCAGUUUGCGGGAGGUCUCGACUCUGAAACAAUGCACGCCUUCGAGCAGUUGAGAGAAAAGGUUCGAUCUAACGGGAGAGGAUCGAAGGUUCUGAUUCCCGGCAUGGUGCUUUCCUAGCAAAGCUGAUAAGAGAUGUCACAGUGAUCCAAUUUUUAGGGCUUAGAGUCUUUGUAGGUAAUACGGGCAAAAUGUUAUGCUGAAAAGGCAAUGAUCUGUUUUGUUUGUUUUGUAUGUACAGGCAAAGUUGAUCCGGUGACUUAACUCGAUAAGCUGAGACUCAGUAGCUCCAAAACCGAAAUAACAGUUCCGAAAGUGAAUUGUUUGUGUAUCAUUGUUUUAUGCGGAUAACGGUGUUAGUGCUCCAAGUUUUGAUCAAUCAAAGCGAGAAAAAGUGCUUGAAUUCUGUGAACUGUUCGGUUUCAAGAAGAAGGAAAAAUAAAGUGCUUUUCACACAAAAUUGAUCUUAGUUGCAGAAGAUAAUAGACUACAAUAUCAAACACUGCUUGCAAAGCUUCAUCUGAAGUUUCACUACAGGAACAUGAACAUUCAUUUCACUAUAAUCUGUACUUUUUUUUGCUUUUAGAAGUCGAAGCCAAACAAAAAUUUCGAAGUGAAAUAGUUCUCAAAGGUUGAGAAUCCGCGAGGUGACAGGUUUCAUACAAAAGAAAGAAAGAACAGAAAGAACACAGCAAUAAUAAUACGUCGGUUCAAACUCAAAAUGCUUAUUUUGUUGGAGAAGCCUCGUCCUCGCCGUCUUUCGCCAUGAUAGAGCACAGCAUCUGCUUCGAGAUGUGAUUCUCAAGUUCCCUCGAAACUUCUGUGAGUUUGAGAUCGAAGUUUGUUCUAUACUUCUGCGGUCCAGGAGAGGGAGACCCCGAAAUCCUCCUCCGCGGGCUCGAGAACCGCUUACUCGGCGAGCCCGCGAACCAAGCCUUGGUAACUACUGGUGUGAUCUCACUUACCAACUUCAUAUGCUUUCUUGCCGAGUUUACUAGAGGCCCUUGCUUCGUCUCUAAUGGAAGCGGUUUCAUCGGAGAUAGUCGGUGUGGGAGGUUUUGUCUAAUCCUCUCUCUUGCUCUCUCCGCGGCGAUCAUUGCCUUCUCUUUGCUCAUCUUUAUAAGUUUCCACGGGUUGAUCUCGAAACCGACCUUUUUGUUUGAAGCAUUAGGUUCUUUCUCGAUUCUUAUCGAUAAUCUUCGAGCACUCUGCAGUUUCCGUAAGUGAAUUUUGGUCAGGAUCAUGUGUAUUGCCCGAACAAAAGGAGUGAAGAAGAGCGAGCGCAAAACUUACUCGAGAGAGUUCACUUCUUCUGCAUAGAAAUCUAGAGAGGAACGGCGGUCUGUCUGGCGAGUCAAAGUCGACACUCUCGUCAGACGAGGAAUCGGUGUCGUCAAAUGGAUCCAUCAACUGGCUUUCUUCUCUCAUUGCUAGGAUGUAAUCAUAUGUUCUCAUUCCCUGCAGUCAUUUUCUUUUCGGCUUGUCAUUGAUCACGAAGAAAAUCUCAAGUCGAAGAAAAGGGACAGAUUCAAGUAUCCUAAACAUCUCACAUGCCAAUUUUUCACAACAUGAUACUUUUUCUUCUGAUUUUUUCCGUACUUUCGCCGAAUUACCGCGCAGUUAAAAAAACCCUCAAUCUCAAUAACUUCAAAUACUAGCAACUUAUGCUAUAGUUUAUACAUGAUGCGUAAAACCACACCUUUCGAAUGAGAACUACAUGGAAGAAGAAAAGCUGUCCGAGGGCCGCUGUACUGUACCCUGUCAGCAGAGCCAAUGAUAUCUGCACCAGAUACUUAAAUUCGAUAAAAUUACACAACUGAGAUUCUAAAUUUGAGCAAUAGUUCAAACCAAUACCGAUAUCGCGGCGAGAACUCCUUUAGGGAACUUGAUGCGGAGCUUCUGCACCAUUUCCUGCUCCAUCCCUUUGCUGUCCGCGAAGCAGCGGAUGAAGAUUGCAACUGCUGUUCCUCCCUCUAUAGUUAGCUACACGAAAAGAUCGUCGCAUUCAAAUUAUCGUCUUUAAAAACUCGCAUUUUGUCGCAAAAACAUUAAAAGAGAGAGAGAGAGAGAUUAUAGAACUACGGACCAUGAGCAAUACAAACACCAUCAGUAGAAUGAAGGUGGUGUAGUUCCUUCUCCCUAUGCAGUUGUUUAGCCACUGCCGAAAAUCUCACGGUUAGCGUAGUAGUACAUAAACAAAUUUAAAAUUUAAAAUUUACAAGCUACGCAUUUCUGAGUUAAAAUUCGCGAGACUCCGCACCCUGCAAUGGUGGUCGAAUCCGUCGACGCACCGAUCGCAACUUCUGCAGUGCUUGCUGUUCCUUCUGACCUAAAAAACGAAGAAAACAUACUCGAACCUACGACCAAAAUCUAACAAUUUUACAAAUUUGGCCUCGAAAUCGACCUCGAAAUCGCAGAGAGCGCAGAACGAGAUGUCGUCGCCUUUCCGAUGCGGCGAGACGGCGUCGUCCGUCACAACGAGAGGGAACGGCAGAAGCGGCUCCAACUGAAUGCUGCUAUUCCACUGCUCCAAAUAGUUCCUCCUUAUGCAGCAACUCAGUAUCUUAUCCUCCAAUUUUCGUAAAAAUCUCACCACAAUAUGGCAAAAAAUGUGCCUGUAAUUGAUCCGCGGGAGUUUUCCGGAUUUGGGCCCUCUCCGUUUCCUCGCGUCGGUUCGAUCGGUCGGAUCGAUCGCAGUACACCUCACGUAUAACACAGCAACAGAGAUGGCCUAUCGAAAGACGAAAAAUUCAAAAUUUUUAGCCGCAAUUCGUGUCUCUGAAACAUUCAUACUACAUUUAAUAAAAAUAAAAAAAACAAAUUGAAGGGUGCAUGAUUCAACUUACAGUGAAGGAGAACAAUGUGAGCGCCGUGUUUUCGACGAUUCGGUUUCCGAGGAACGGCCCGAGGAAGAUGUAGAAGGCGGAGACGAGGACGAUGAAAACUGCCGUCCCGACGAACUGCGUCGGCCGAAUGAGAUUUUCGUAACAACAGUUCAAUCAGUUAUUGUGAAAUUCACCAAAAAUGUGGUUAUAAAAUUGAAUUUAAGAUGCAAUUUGGCAAAAGAAAUUUUUGAAAAGUCACAGAUUCUGAAAAUUAAGAUGCAAAAUAACAAAUUUUUCAGAACCAUUUCAAAUCAGAGCGUCUGAAAUUUAAGAAAUCAACAAAACUCAAACCCUUGGUUGGUUUUUGAAUGAUGCAAACAAUUUCAAAUUAGAAAAAAUCUCAAAAUUAAGAUGGAAAUUAACAAAUUUUCAAACCUGGAGGGGAUGAAGUGGGAGCUGCCACCCAUGGCGCCGCAUGCUGCUGCAGCUUCCUUUUUUUUUGGUUUUUUCUCACACUUUUUGCUUCUUUGGAGUAAGAUUCAGGAACUAGAGCUUGUGAUUCGAGUAGGGUUUCCUUUCAAAAUCAUCAAAACCCCCGAAACUCGAUCCAAAAUCUCAUCUUUUUUUAGCUUUUCGGAGUGUUGUUCGUGUGCAACGGACUCGUAGGUGUACUGUGUACUACUGAGGGAAAAAUAAAAGCAAAAAAAAGGGGGAAAAAAAAAAGAAAAAACCAACGGUUGGAUCGGCGAGCGACACAAAUUUUUUGAAUUUUGAAACGUUAACGUCUCGGAUCCGGAAACCAUCCGGUGAGUUUAUGUGACGCGUCACCCCCCAAUUGGGCCUGGGCCUGGCCCAGCCCAAACUCUUAUUCGGUCGUGUUUGUAGAUGUUGUGCUUUGCUAUUCUGUGGUUUUGUUUUUAUUUCGCUGCAACGACCCGACGCGUCAAAUAGGUUUGAAAGAUGUGUCAGUUUACAAACCACAUGAUAGUAAAGAGAUACAUCGUAAUAAUCUUAUAUAACGCGGCGUAUUUUAACUUUACCUUUUUGUAGUUUAAAAGUUUUGCUGAACUAUAGUCGGUCGUUUUCCACGAAACAGACUUCGAGAUCGACAAUCUAUACGGUUAAACAUUAUAUAAAGUAUUUACGCAUUCUAGAAAUUGUGAUUUCUUGACAUCAUUUACUUUAUGAUCAAAAGGCUUCAAAAUUAAUAACAUUAAUUGUCAGUAUAAGAUGUUGUCUAGUUUAACAGUGUAGAAGAAUAAAAAUCGGUUGAAUUUUUAAUAGAAAAUUCUAUUCACUAUUUAGGUCAAAAUUAAUAACAUUGAUUUUAAAUUGAAGAAUCUGAUCCUCUAUUCUACAAAAUAGUUCGAUUUUAAUCAUUUAUUUUGUACCCGCUCGAUGGAUUUUAUUGUAAUUUUUAAAAAUUACAAAAGCAUUUCAAAUACUGUAAAUUAUAUUUAACGGUAUAAAUCAUCAAUUUGAAAGUUUUAUUAUUAAAAAUAUUUUAUGAGUAGGCUUUCGUACGGUUGAUCAUAACUAAAAUUAGAUAGUCAUUUUAAAAAAUAAAAGUAUAUAAAACUCAUCUGAAGUACGAACCAUUUUAAAACAAUUAACAAUAUUUUAAAAUUUUAAUUUGAGUCCGUCGAUAGCAUUUUAACUUCAUAAUUUGAAUAUGCUAUUAUUUUGGCAAGUUUAGUUAUUAUACUUUGUAUAAUUCUUAUGACUAUAAAUUUAUUAAAAUAAUAACGUAUUCAAAUUAUGGACGAUUGGACCACCUAGACCCAACUUGGCUCAACCAUCUCCCGCAUUGUUUACUCGCACGCACCGUUGAUGAGACAUCAAACGGCCACGAUUCAAUCCCCCGAUUCGCGAACUAAACCCACCGUAGACCUAAUCCCCCGCAACAUUACUACGAGUUCCGACCCCCUCCCCCGCCCAUUUAAUCCUAAACCUAAUCCUAACCCUAACCCUAACCGUAAUCCGAACACGAUCGCUCUCCGAUGGCGUCCUCCUCCUCCGCCGCGGCGGCGGCGGAAGCGACGAGCGCGGGUCCUAACCCUAAGAGGGGGAGGCGGGGGGCGGCGGAGAAGCUGUGGACGGAGGCGGAGGAGAUGGCGAUCCUGGAGGGGUUUUUGGAGUUCGUGACGGAGCGGGGGACGCCGACGCGCGCGCCCGACCACCACCACCACCACCACGACACCGCCCCCUUCUUCGAGCGGAUCCGCCCCCGCCUCCGCCGCGCCGACCUCAACCGCGCCCAGCUCGCCGACAAGCUGCGCCGCCUCAAGAGGAAGUACCGCGCCGCCGCCUCCCGCCUCGCCGCCGCCCCCUCCGCCGCCGCCGCCGCCGCCUUCAGGACCCCCCACGACCGCGCCACCUUCGAGCUCGCCCGCAAGAUCUGGAGCCCCGCCACGCCGGCGCCGGAGCCGGAGGAGGGGAGGAAGGGGAUGGAGGAGAAGUGGAGGGAGCAGCAGAUCCUGGAGCUCGAGGUGCUUCUGAAGAGAGCGGAGCUUCUCCAUGAGCACUUCUCCGCGAAGCUCGAGGAGAUGAGAUCGACGACGACGACGACGAGUUCAAACUAGUGGCAUUUCGGUUAUUUACACGAACUCAGAGGUGAGUUUUAUAUCUAUCCUCCAAAAGUGGUUUUUUCUUUUUUUAAAAAAAAAUCUUAGUUUUGAAAAUAAAAUAUACAGGAGCCCCCUCAACUAUUUAUUCGUUUAUUUCGACACCUUCUCACCUUUACUUCUUUUUUUGGAAUUCAAAUUAUUCGCGUCUACUGAAUUAGUAGUAUGAUUAAAUUUAAUUGAAGAAUCUGUCAAUUUUCCCAAAAAGAUCAAAUCUAAAAAAUAAAAAAAGAAAUUGUUGAGGGGUCUCCGUGGUUAUUCUGUGUUAUAAUAGGUCUCCUCCUAUUUAUCUUGUGAUAUAAUGUAAAAAAAAAGGGGGUUAAAUUAGAAAUAAUUUUUCGUAGGGGGUGAGGAGGAUUUAUCUGUAAAUAUGUGUAUUAAUGCUGGGUACGGUCACAUGUAUUCAUACAUACAUGUAUGUGUUAUAAGUUGCUUGGUUUAUAGAUUGGAAAUGUAACAGUUUAUUUAAAUAUGUUCCUAUUUUUAUUUUUCUUUUUGUUUUUAGAACAGUUUGGUUGCACGUAUUUACAAUCGCUCUGCAGUGAUAGUUACAUACAGAUUUAAAUAUAAUAUUUAAUUUCAUGCAUUUGUAAAUAUAAUUUCAACAGUCGUAGUGAUCUAUGGAGGAAUGUAGAUAUAUUUUCAGCCAUAGUUAGUUAAUUUGUGAAUUAUUCAUGAAUUAUUUAUAAUUUUUUUAAAAUUCGAAUAAAACAGUACGUAUGCUAUUUAUUUCCAAAAAAUCAGAAUAAAGCACGACUUUUUAAGUUAGAUUUAUUAUUCGCAAAUAAUUCGCAUUUGCCAAACUAUUCGCUCAAAAAAACGCGCAGAAUUUUUGGAUAAAAUCUUUUUCUUCAUUAUUCGCAAAUUAUUGAAAAAUUUAUAAAUUUUCGAAAUAUGUUGAUCAAGAAAAAGAUGAAGAUAGAGACGACAAUAAAUUUUGUUAUUAUUAUUUUUUACCUAAUCUAUUUUAUUUUAUAAUUCUCUAUUUUUAUAUUCUUAAAAAUUUAUAAUUAUUUAUGCUAGUAGCAUAAAUCUAAAAAAAAAAGUUUAAUUUAAUAGCCGAAUUUUUUAUCUCGAAUUUUUAAUUAAUGAACGUAUAAUUUUCGUAUAAAUUGCAUAUCGGAAUAAAUGGCGAACCUUAUUUUUAAGCUGUAUGUCUCAACAAAUUUUAAAAUUAGAAUACAACUUAUGCUCUUAUUAUAUCCGUAUCAAAUUUUUGUCGAAUCCGAAUUAACUAACUAUGUUUUCAACUACACGGCAUCUGCAGUUGCAUCUAAUUACAUUGAAUUGAUGACCCACACUAGGGGACCUAGUUAAACCUCCAUUAAUUAAACCUCCAAUAAUUAAUAUAAGAUCCUAAUCAAAACCUUGAAUUUGACAACACUUGAUUGCGUAUAAAUUAUCUCGCGCACGUUUUCACGAUUUGAAUGUGCAGAAACUUUCUGAAUACUGUAUCAUCAAUAGUGAUUCGUCACAUAGUACGAGAGUUAAAUCAGAUCUAGCAGACACGGUGGAUUUUAUCAUUUAUCAAGUGAUCGAAAUAUACGUCGCAUUCUCCGUGCGCAGAAAAAUUUUCUGUACUGAGCAUAAGACAAUUUGUGCCCUAAUUUGUCUUUCCUAACAUGCUUACUUUUUAUUAAAUAAAUAGAUAGACUAGCCCAGGUCAGUUUGGGCCUAUAGUUAGUCCUACACAUAGAUAUCAAAUUAUUUUUCAGUUUAAAGCAAAAAAAAUAAGGUUUAUAAGAAAGAGAUGCCACAAUGGAGAUUGAUUUAGGCUAAAUUAUAGAAAACUCUUCUGUCAAAUUUUUUACUUUUUUUUUCUGUCAUUUAAAAACCUACACUUUGCCUCCUUGUAAAAUGAAAAAUGUGCACUUAUCGUUAGUGAUCCGUCAAGGUUCUGUUAUAAAAUAAUUUUUUAUGUCAAAAAUACCUCUCCGCACUCUUUCCUGUUGCUUCGCCUCCCUCCGGGUUGCAGCCUCGCCGUCGCCUCCCGCUCCUCCACUGCCUCGCCCUCGCUCACAUCCCCUUCGCCGUCUCGCCUUCGCCGCCUCGCCUUCGCCCUCGUUGCCCUUGCCUACCUCUCCAUCAGCACUCAUCUUGAUUUUCUCCUUACUGUCGCCGAAAUCGAAGGCGGCGAGGGUGCAGGAGGAGAAAGGGAGCAGGUGUAGAAAAAAAUGGAGAGAAAUCACAGCCGAUCGAGGUGUGAAUCGUAGCCGAUCAAGACGGCGGUUGAGAAAAAUGAGGGAGGAGACGAAAAUGGUGAGGGGCAAAAUGAUCAUUUUACACACCGUACCUCUCCUGUGAAUAUUUUUUAUUUUACAAGAGAGCAAAGUGUAGGUUUUAAAAUGACAGGGGAUGAAAGUGAAAAAUCAGAUUUUGACAAGAAAAUUUUAUGUAAUUUAGCCAUUGAUUUAAUCCACCAAAUGAGAAAUGUUGCUUUUUUCAUAACUUACAUAUUUGUAACAAAUGAAAUCCACUUGUUUCUUUUUUCUUUUUUUAGUUGGUAAGACGGUUAACGAGACAGGCCAGGUUUGGGCUUGGGUUUUAUUUCUGCUGAGUUACGCGUGCAUGAUGAAGAUCAAAUGAACUACGUCAUUGUUACUAACGGGAGACAAAUAUUGCGCCGUUAAAUUAUAAAUACGUUGGUAAAUAGAACUGUCUGUAAUACCAUGUUAUGGAAAAGAUCGGCCUGAAUAGGAAACAAGCGGAUAAUGGACUUAAAAGCAACCAAUAAUAUAUUACCAUCUUAUUUCCUCAUAUUAUACGAGUUGUAAAUUGCAUAACCACGCUAGAUGGAAAAGUAGGAAGGGUUCGUUAAAUUCAAGUUCCGAGCUAAUCGGUUUAAUAGUCUGCUGGUGGGUCACUUGAUAGGCCAGAAAUAGCGCGAUGUUCAGAUUGACCAAGGCAGACCCUUUCCUUGGAAUCUACAUGAUUAAACAACCGAAGAAUCAACAGAAGCAACUACUCUCAGUAGUUAGGCACAGUUGUUGUAAUCGUUAGUUUUUUUUUUUUUUCCGCCCCUCUCAAGGCCCGUAAUGUCUUACCUAUAUAGUUUAGUUUAUCUUUUCAAUGAAUUGAAGCGGAUAACGUACUACCUUUUCCUCAAUAAAAAUAAUCAUACUAAAUUAAUUUUUAACCAAAAUUAUUUAUAUAGAACAAAAUUAAUUCAACAGCUAAGUCAAACAUGCCCUAAUGCAUCUUAUUGUGCCCUAGUGCAUCUUUAAUGAGAUUCCUACCAUUUAUAUUUUGUUCCUACGAAGAUAUGGGAAUGUAAUUAAAUAAAUGUACUCUACCUUUGCUAUUAUUUUUGUACAGUACAUUGUUCUUUUCAUAUUAUGCACCAAAACUUAAUUGUUGUACUCAAAUUUAUUUUUAACCCUUAUGUAUAAUUACAGAUUGAGAAAUUGCAAACAAAUGGACAUCAUUUUAUCCAACAUUGGUAUAUAGUUCACAAAUUUAAUUAAUUCGAUUAAUUCCUUCGCAAACAACUAGUUUUGCUGCGAAAUGUGGAUCCGUGUAUUUCUUGAUCUUAAGAGAAUUGGUUUUGGCGCGAAUACGACGUAGUUAAUUACUUUCUUUGGCACGAAUUACGUAUUUCUAUAAAAAUAACUGGUUUUUGCGCGAAUAUAAUACACUUUAGAAAUUUAGAAAUGCAAUUCUCAAUUAAUUUCCUUACAGAUAAUUAGUUUUGCUGCAAACGUGCGCUGAUUUGUGUAUAUAUGUAUAUUUUUUCUCUUAAAAGAACCGGUUUUGGCGCGAAUGGGGCGUAGUUACUGUCUUUGGCGCGAAGAACGUAUUCCCGUUUAAAUAACUGAUUUUAGCGCGAAUAUGUAGUAACUGUUUUUGGCGCGGACACAACGCAAUUUAGAAAAAUAUAUAUUGUUAAUAUUUACAAGUUUUACAUAAAUUAUUGGCAUUUGCAGGGUGUUUGUUUUUGUAUUACAAAAAUGGUAAAAUUCAUCUCAAAUAUAGUGGAUCCUUUGAAACAUGAAUAGGAAAGAGAAAAAUACCAUAGAUAUAUAUAUAUAUCAUUGUACACAAACAAGCAAGAGCCAAAUAGAAAACAAGUUCUCUUUAUUUAUAUUAUUAUUUUUAUAGAAUGUUGAUAGGUAGAGAUAUAUGAAGAUACUAUAAUAAGAACAUGCACCAUAACUGGUGAUGGACUCAACACAUGCAGUAGAAAAGGUAAAGCAUGAGAAAAUUAUAAAAAGAGAAAGACACAACCUCUGGACUAGAAUGAGUGACUUUUUUGUUCUUGUUGCUGAAAAACGCAGAAGCAUAUAUAUGAGUUCACUCAUUCAGAAUGGAUAGAAGGAAUCGAGCCACGGAUCAGCAACGUAGGGGUCCAGGUACGGCGUCUGCAGCUCCGCCCACGGGCCGACCAUUGGAGGCUGCGGCGUAGGUGUAUCGGCCGGCGGCAGCAGACUGCUGUCGUGCCUGUUCAGAACUUCCACAGCAGCAGCAGCAGCAGCAGCAGCAGACUGAGGAUCAUGAUCCACGACACGCACGGCCGCCUCCUCCGCCGCCGCCUGCAGCGGCACUCCCCCCUCCGGCGUCGCGGAGUACAACUGACGAAGUUGGGUUUCCAGCUGGUCGUAGACCGACUUGAACUUGGCAUCGAGCAUCCAAGUGAGCGACGCCACCUCCUCGACCUGCGCCAGGUUGCUGAAGCUGCUGCGCCGCCCGGACAGGCCCUCGGCCACGAGCGCCAGCAGCUCCCCCUGGCGGUUCUCGCGCAGCUGGCGGCGCUGCGCGUCCCGCAUCUUCCCCACCCGCUGCCGCAGGAAGCUCUCCUGGCUGACCAUCUUCCGCCGCCGCUCGCCCUCCGGCAAGCCCCUGAACUGCGUCACCACGCGCGCCACCCCCCGGGGCUCCGACGGCAAGAUGUCCGCCGGGAAGCGGUCGCUCGGGGUGCCGUACACGAUCAAGCACGCAUCGACACCGCACAGCACGCUCAGCUCGUGCACCUUCUUCAGCAGCCCCUUGCGCCGCUUCUUCAUCGUCGUCCGCCGCGUCGCAUCGUUCGCUAUCCACAUGAGCUUCACCUUCUUCCUCGCCAUCCCGACAAGUCAACGACAACGACAACGACAACGACAACAACGUCAAUCCCCGCAAAAAAGAGAAAACACAAAAAAACUACUCUUAUUUUGGUCUUUUUCCUUUUCGGACUCUACAUGUAUUUAUAGUCCUUAGAUUCUAAUUUUCAAACACUAAACAACUUUCUUAUAUUUUCUCGCGAAAUAUCGUGAUUGGCUCCUUUUUGGAUUUGAGUGUGACUCAGUACACAGCGUAGUACAUUAAUUACGGUACAAAAUCUCAGGGGCGCCCUCGCUGGACAUGUACACUAGUUCAUUAACUGAUACGCUAAAUUAGUAAUACACUCUAUUUUGCGUACGUGGCGCGAUACCAUUGGCCACACACAUAUUUUUAGCAAACACAAAUUAAUUAAAACAAAUUUUUUAAAAAAAUGAAGUGCUAAUGCACGAAUUUAAGCGAAUCUUUGCUAAGAUUUGGAGAAAAAUUGCAUUUAAAUUAAUUCACUAGAAAAAAUUCUCCCUGUAUGACCAUUUUAUCUACUGUUCAUUACGUACAUAGCACGAAUCUUAAAACUGCAUGAAUGGCUGAGACAUGAGGUGGUGCACGUCUCAUGUUGGGAAUUGUCCCCACUAUUAUGUUUUUUUAUUUUUUCAUAUAUAUUAUUAUCCGGUUGUCGGAAUUUUUGCAUGUUCAGUGAAUCUAAUUACAAAUUAAUUUUGAGGAAAUUAAUUUUUGUUGUUGGAAGGGUGUCUAUGGGUUGUUCACAACCUGACAAACAAUAAAUGCAAAUUAUAUAUUCAUCUACCUGUGCCCAUAUAUAUAUAUCAUAUAUAUAUAUAAAUAUAAAUAUACACCUUUUGUAACAUUUAAAUUUUUAAUUUAAAUUUGAUUUCUCAUUUAUCUCAAAUUUUAAACAUAAGAUCUACUUUUUAAUUAGCUUGUUAAUUUCCUCAUACAAAUUAAAUCUAAUAAUAUCAUAUUAUAUAUACAUAUAUGGUAAGCAUAUACAGCGAGACACAUACAUCAACAAUUAAUGUGUGCAUUUCAAAUAGUACAUGUACAUAUCUAAAAAUUACUUAAUUUCAUGAUUUUAACACAAUGAGAUAUGUUCAGGAUCUCGAAUUAAAAAAUUUUCAUUUCUCAUUUCUAGUAAUGGAGAAGAAUCAGAGAAUUUUAGUGUUGUGUUGCCGCAUAAUAUUUUGGUAGACGCUAGUGAAUAUAAAAUAUUAAAAGCAUCAUUCCCUGACGCCAACUUAAUUAAUUAAGCUUUUAAAGUAUAAUCAGUUAUUUCAUAAUUAUUUCACACGCUAUCGAUCAAAUUCGCACGCUCAUCACAUAUCACUGGAAAGAUAAUUUGCUAUUUUCAAAUUUCGAAUGUCAAAUAUAUAUAUAUAUAUAUAUAUAUAAAUAUAUAAUAUAUUGCAUUGGAAUCGAUUUGCGAAGAAAUUUUGAUCAAAUGCAUGUGAAAAAUAUGAAUGUUCUAUCAAAGCCUCCAUAUUAAAUAAUUAAUUUAUUUCAUUUUAUGGACCAAAAAAAUUGCUUAUAGUGACAGGGCAAUGUAAUAUAAUUGCUGGCAAUAAGAGAUUAUAUAUAAUCAUAUGAAUAUAUAUAUAAUAUAUAAUAUAUAUAGUAUUCUUUUUUCUACAUUAAAGGAGGUUGGGGGCUCCAUAGGUGACACUGUAACCCCCAAACGCCUCUUUACUCCCCCCUCUCCUCUCUCUCUCUCUCUCUCUCUCUCUCUCUAUAUAUAUAUAUUUUAUAAUUUUAUAUCAAAAUUAAAAUUUUCAUACUUUCAAAUUUUAAAGUUUUAAAUUUAAAUUUAUAUUUUAAAUUCAAAUUUCAAUUUUAACUAUAUAUUUAUUUCCAAUUUUGUAACUUCAAAAUUAAAAUUUAAAUCCUAAACUAUGAUUUAAUUAAUUUAAUUUUAUAAUAAAUACGCGUAAUAAAUUGGCACAUAAAACUAACAGAUAGAUUUAUAUUUAAAUACGUAAAAUGGUUUAGUAAAAAAAUACAUAAUUUUAAUUUCAAGUGAAAUUAAAAAUAUAGUGUAUAUGUGUAUAUAUAUAUAUAUAUAAUUAAUUUUAUAUAAGCAAUUUUUUCUACAAAUUUAUUUCCCUUCUAUCUAUUGAUUUUUAAAAAUUAUUUUAAUAGAUUUAUCUCUUUAUAAAAUAAAUGAUAAUAAUUACUUGCACAUAUACCAAAUUUAAUGACUUUAUUAAAUAGAUUAACUAUUACAUCAUUUUUUAUAUAAUUUAUUUAAUUAAUAAGUUAACUUAUAAAAUUAUAUAAAAAUAUUAAAAAAAUAAAAUUAUUGUCAAAAUAUUUUUAGAUCCGCAGCAUCGCCGAACAUUAAAGGAGGUUGUGGGAGGCCCAAGAGAGUGCACGAUCACCCUCCCAAACCCUCCUUCACUCUUCUUUCCAAUAUAAUAAUAAUAUAUAUAUAAUAUAUAUAAUAUAUAUAUAUAUAUAUAAUUUUAUAAUUUGAUAUCAAAAUUUAAAAUUUGAUAUUUAAUUUUAAAAUUUUAAAUUUUAUAUUUUAUAUUUUAAAUUCUAAUUUAAAUUUAACUUAUAAUAUUUAUUUCUAAUUUGUAACUUCAAAAUUUAAAUUUUAAUCUAAACUCUAUAAAAUUAUAAAAUAAUUAUUAAUAAUACGGGUAAUAAAUCGGAUAAUAAAAUUUAACAUAUAAUUAAUUUAAAUAUAGUAAAAUAUCGUUGUAUAAAAAAAUACAUAAUUAAAAUUUCUUCAAAACUAAAAUUUUAAAUAUCUGUAAACUCUAUGAAAUAAUUAUUUUAUUAAUAAUAUGGCAUAAUAAAUCGUAUAAUAAAAUUAAACAUGAUAGAUUUAAUUUAAAUCACUAAAAUAUCGUUGUAUAAAAAAGACAUAAAUUUAAAUUUUAGUGAAAAUUUUAAAAAUAUAGUGUGUAUAUAUAAUAAUAUAUAUAAUAUAAUUUAUUAAGAUUUAUUCUAGCAAAUUACUUCCCUCUCUAUCUAUGAUUUUUUAAAUUAUUUAUAAGAUUUACUUCAAUCUUCUCUUAAAUCUUUAUAAAAUAAAGUGGUGUAUAAAUUUAUUUGAGGAUAUAUCAUUUUAAGAUUUAACAUAUAUAAUUAUUUUUAUAUAAUUUUUAUUUAAUGAUAUAAUAAGACUUAUAAAACUAUAUAAAAAUAUUAAAUAAAAUGUUAUUAUAAAAAUUUUAGAUCCGCAGGCAGUCAGCGCGGGUAUUUCACUAGUAUAUAUAUAUAGUACACUUUCUCGUACGAUAUAAAAAUUAACUAAUCAUGAAUCGUACACAUAUGGAAUUUGUACCAUUGAAAUUCAACCUAUAAUUAAAUUUAGCGUGUUACGACCUGAUUUUUUCUGAGGCAAAAUGCGAAUCCUUCACUAGUGAAUAUUAAAUAUAUUGUUUAUAAGUUAUAAUUUUUUCUUUUUUCUCCACAAAAGAAAAAAUCAGGUCAUAAGUUAUUUAUUCAUAUGUAUAUAAAAUAUAUUAUUAUUUCAUAAGUUAUAUUAAAUAUAUUGUUCAUAUGUAUAUAAAAUUUUAUAUAUUUAUUUCUGUAGUUUUCGAGGCUACUCGUUAAUUGUAUGUGAAAUUUAGCAACCUAUAUCUUUAACGUAUUGCUGUGUUAUUUGUCCGUAGCGAAGCGCGAGUUCUUUAUCAGUGAUUCAGGAUAAUCACGACCAAAAACACAUAUUUUUCUCUCAUAAGAAACAAAAAGUAAAUACAAAUUAAUUAAACAUAUAUAGUGUUGCGAGUUCUUUUAAAAUAUUUUAUUUUAUUUUAUUUUUUAUGAUGAUAUUUUUUUUUUUUUCGAAUGUUGAUCACCACCACGUACGCACGUGAAAUGACAUGCAAGCACGUGGAGUGCACGUGUGGGUAGCACGUGGAGUGCACGUGUGGGGAGCACGUGGAGUGCACGUGUGGCUUCCCCCCUCUCUUCUCGCAUCGUUGGAUUCGGUGGGGUUUAUUUUAUUUUAUUUUAUUUCUCUCUCUCUCUUAAAUAGUGUUUGGUUGAGGGAUAAGCUUAUCUGAAUUGCAAAUAUUUUUAAUUUAUUGUCUAAUUUUUUAAAUUUUAAAUUUAUUAUCUAAUUUUAUUUUACAAUUUAGAUGUGUAAUUUAUCAUUACCGAUUAAUUAGCAGAUUUUAUAUACUUUGCAUGACUAUAUAUAAAACUAUUAAAAUAAUUGAUGAGUUUGAAUUUUAUAUUGAAAAAAUUAUCAAAUAUCUUAAGUCAAACAAACCGAAAAGUUGAAUACCAAAAUCAAAAUUUUAAAAAUUUUGGUAGCGGAAUCCGAAAAUAAAUAUUAUCUUCAAUCUUUUUCAUUUUUGGGUUUGAAGAUUCUUAAGUUUUUAAUUUGUUUUAUCUUCAUAAAAUUCCUACUAAUCAUCUUUUUUAUGGAAUUUAAAUAUAAACUAUCACUUCUAAGUUUUAUAAUUAAUCUCUUUUUUCCCCUAUUUAUCUUUGCAAAUAUUCUAUAUGGCCAAUUUGCAUAAAAAAAUGUUAAGAGACUCCCUAAACUAUGAAAGUUUUGAAAUGGGACCCUCAACAUUUUUGUCAUAAAAUCGAAAUUUUAAUUCUCCAAUUCUUUGAUGAUUUUAUUUAAUUUAAUAUAUAGUUUUAGCUACUUUUUACCAAACUAAACCAGACCAAUUAACAAAUAGCAGCUAAUAGAGUCAUUAAAUUUAAUAAAAUUUAAAACUCAAUUUGCUAAAAUGACUCAAAUAACAAAAAUUGGAUGCAAAAGAGGAGUAUUCAAUUGCAAAAAAAAAUUUUAAAAAAAGUUGGAUCUCCAUAGAUUUUCCACAAAUUUGUUUGAAAAAUAAAAGGUUAAGAUUUUGUUUUUUAGAUCUUUUUUGAAAUUGUUCUAAAAGUAAAGGAAUUAUAUAGAAUAGGUAAAAACAUCUGGAACUUAUUUGAACUAUAGAACAUUCUAAUUUGACUAUGAAAUAUUUUAAAAUUUUAAUUUUACCAUCCAAAUUUUUAAUUAUUUUUCAUUUACCUCAAUUUACAUUGAAUGCAUUGUUUAUCUUUACAUAUUUAGCUAAUAUACUCUAUGCAAUUCUCGCAACUAUAAAUUAACUUAAAUUAUAAAGUCAAAAUAUCCUUAACUAAUUCAAAUCAAAUAAAUUAAAAAAUUAAUGGUAAAAUUAAAUUUUAAAAGUUUAGGGUAACUGAUUCAAAAUGAUCUAUAGUUGAGGUGAAUUUUAUAUGUUUUUACCUCCAUAUAUAUAUAGAGAGAGAGAGAGAGAGUUGAGCUAGAAUACUAUCGAUAGUAAACGAGCCGUUUUACUAUCGAUUUGUUUUUGAUGAUAGAGCUUCCAAAUUGACGACCGGUUCCGUUAAAUAUAAUCUAAACCAUUUAAACUACUUAGCACUUUCGAUAUUGUUCUUUUAUCCAUCAAGUGAACAGAAAAAUAAAUAGUUGAAAAUGAAUAUCCUUUAAAAAAUAAUGAUAAGAGUCUUGUAAUCAAGAUCAAGAGUAUAGAUCUUGUUUUAAAUAGUUUAAAGAAUUUUUUAACAAAAAUUCAAUUGAUUUGAAUAUCUUUACGCCGUUAAACGAGAAAACGCCUCUUAUCGACCAUUAAAAUUACAAAUUUUGAAAUUCUUUGAUCAUUAGGCAAAUGAUGUCCAAAAGAUUUGAAAUUUGAUUUCUAAACACUUCGAGUGGUAUAGAUCCUGUUCAACGGAGCCGAUCGUCAAUUUGGAAGCUCUAUUAUCGAAAACAAAUAGGUGGUAAAACGGCUCGUUUACUACCGAUAGUAUUCUANAGAGAGAGAGAGAGAGAGAGAGAGAGAGAGAGAGAGAGAGAGAGAGUAAGAAAAAAAAAUUAAUUUUCCCAAUAAAGUUUGGUUGAGUUUGUCCUUUUCUACCUGGCUGUUGUGUUUAAUGUGGCUUGUCUCCUCUUUAAGUACAAUGGAGGUCUUGGUGUCUCCUUGGUGGGGUUUUGCAUUUGUGUUUGAGUCCAUCUUGUGAUAAUCCUAAAAAUUGUCAUUAUUUAUUUUUAUUUUUUCUUUUCUGAUCUGUAUUAGGUCAUUCUAGUCAUUUAUUUUUGAGACAAGCCUCAAGUUUGUUACAACUAGCACACAAAUAAAAAUAAAAAACGGCGAACGUGAAGUAGACAAAUCAUAAAUAAAAAAAAUAAAAUAAACAUAAAGAUUCACAUGAAAAAUUUUUUGUAGAAAAAAAAAUCACGAAGUAAGGAGGAGAAAGCUUACAAAUGUUGCAUCGUGUCUAGGGCAAAAGAGAAGAAGAAAGUCUCUUAACGGAUUCUUCAUUAUUGGAUCAGAUUCGUACGACGGGAAGCUCCGGCCGAUAGGCCCGAGCCCUUCGCUAUCCACCACUGAUAUCCAUUUUUCCUUUACAAUUUAUUUUUUUUCAAAAAUCUGUCGCACUGUAAAACUGUGACGAAUCGGGGACCGGCCCAAAAAACAAAGUCGAUCAAUAACCAAUUUCGAAGCAUUCAAGUCCAAAACAGGAUCUCAAACUUUCGACCUUAGUUUAUUUUAUUUUCAUAGAUAGGUAGCAUACUAUUCGUUUCGUUUAUUUUUUUAGAAAUUAAUAAACUUAGCUGGAAAUAUGAAUUGACUAAGAUUUGAAUUUGGAACAUCGGAUACCAACUACCAAAUUAUUUGCCACUUGCUCAGGGACGGUCGGUAACUUCCAACCUUAUUGUUGAUAUUUUCUAAGUGUUUAGUAGGGUUUAGAUAUAAAAACAGCAUUUUAAUGUUCCAAAAUAAUUAAUAAUUACCAACAUGCCUAUCUCUUUUACAAUUAAACAUCAAAUUUGUUCUUCUGAAAUUUAAAUUAUUAUACCUUUUUUGUCAUUUUUUUUCUCUCAUGUUGUUCGAUAUGAACAUUAAUUAAUUCCUACAUUAUUCGCGAAUUUUUUUUUAGUUAUUUAUUUAUGCACAGAACGGUAGAGAAUUUGCUUGGAAUGAACAUCAAAUGAAAGAUUAAACCAUCAUAUCUUAAUAAAUUAUAGGCUAAACUUCAAAUACCAUGCUUUAGUUUAAAGUAUAUCGCUUUAGUAUUUUGUGGUUUUAUUUUUUUUUCUUUUUGUCAGUCCAUCCGUUAACUCUUCGUUAAAUCAUAUACAAAAAAACUUCAGAUACACCACCUAUAGUUUAUUGACUAUUUAUUUUAGUAUUAUGUGGUUUACGAAUUUUUAUUUAGUACCUUAUAAUUUUGAAUUUGGCACUGAUUUAACGAAAAAAAUUAACAAAGUGGAUAACUGAGAGAGAAAAAUAAAAUUAACAGGAUAUAAAAGUUAUAUAUUUUAAAUCAUAGGUUAUUAAAAUAAAAAAGCACGAAAUUAUAGAAAUGAUAUUUAAUUUUUUUUCUAAAUUAUAUAUAAAGAGUCAAAAAAAAUUAUUCUAGUACUCAUUUUACACUUUAGUUGCUAGGUAAGUGUGGAGAGCACUCAUGAUUUAUAUAUUUUAUAUUUUAUACUAUAUAUUAGCUUUAUAUUAUAUAUUAUCUAAAGCUACACAAUCAAACAAAACCAAACUCCAACAAUGUUGGACUCUUGAGAAAAAGAAAGCAACUUUAAAUUAAAGCCUAACCUUAAUAAGCAGGUCAAAUCAAUUUCUUUAUUCAACAGCAUUAUUUAAAUACCAAAAACACAUCAUCCUUUACUGUGCUUCUAAUUUUUUUUUAAAACAAAGUUGUCGUAUAUCGCGUAGUUUUUUUUUUUUUUUUUUUGAGAGAUAGGUAACACGCUACCCGCUUCGUUUAUUUCAUUUAAAAAUAAACUUAGCUGGAAAUGUGAAUCAACUAGGAUUCGAACUUGGGUCUCGAAUAUCAACCACCAAGUCCUUUGCCACUUGCUCUUCGGUCAACUGUACGUUAACCAGCUAUAAUAGCAAAAAAUAAAAUAAAAUUCUAAAACACAUCAACUUAUAUAAUAUUAGUAUUUAAAAAGUAAAAAAAAAAAUAGUUAUUUAGCGUACAAUGCAUCAGCUGUACUUUUGCAUUACGCUCCUAAAAUUCAAUCAUAGAGAAUUCAAAAUUAAAUUUUAAAAUAGAGGCUUGGCCUCUUGUGCUAUGAGGGGUUUGGCAUGGACUUUAAUAAAAGGAUUUAAUGCUACUUCAGUGUCUAUGGACAUAACUUUAAAAAAGAAAAAACGAAAAAAAAAUUCAAAUUUUAAUUUAUUAGUUGAAUUUCAUGACAGUUUAAAAAAAUCCUAUGUUUUUUCUAACUCUUAUUUCUUGUGAAUAUAGACAUCAAACAUAUAUCUAAUUAAAUUUUAACUUAAAAACAUUAAUAAUUUGAAUAUAGAGCGUAUAUAAUGGGUAGUGUCACGCACUAAUAUACCGUAUUUUUCUUUUUAAAAUACAGUAUUUUUCAAAUUAUACGUGUAUACAAAAUUAAAAAGUGUUUUUUAACUAAAUUGACGUGAGACCCACAACACUCAAUCUUAUUGACAUGAUUUUUAUACCAGUUUCUUAAACUGUAGAUAUGCAAUCAUUUUAGGAAAAAUUUAAAAUACCACUCCUGCGGUUUCACACUUUCUUAUUUUAGAAUUCUAUGAUUUAAAGUGUAUCAAUUUAGUGUCCUAUGGAUUUAUUUUUAUCUUUUCAUUAUCGAUUCUAUUAUUUUUUUCGUUAAAUUGGGGACAAAGUUAAAACUAAAAGGUACUAAAGUUAAUAUUUGAUAAACCUGGGUGGGGUAUCUGAAGUGUUUUCUAUAUAAUUUAACAAAAUAUUAACGAAAAAAUUGACGAAAGGAUAAAAAUAAAAUCACAGGACACUAACCUGAUACACUUUAAAUUAUAUGGUACUAAAGUGAGAAAAUAUGAAACCGCAGAGAUGGUAUUUGAAGUUUACUUUUAAUUUUAUGUGCAAAUAAUCGUACAUGAAUAUUGCAAAUCUUUAUUUGUCUUUUUCUUCUAUUUUCUGGGGGUAAAAAUUGUAUAGUACUAACACCAUAAAUGAUUUUGACUGGACAAUAAAAAUUUUAAAUUUUAAAUUUUCGUCUAUAAUAUUUAAGUCACCUAAUGGCUUUUCUGAUGCAAAAUUUAAGUUGAGCACUUACUUAAUUUAUAGCUGUAUAAGUUGCGUAAAUAUACUAAUUAAAUUUAUAAAUACAAACAAUACGUUUAAAUUUUAGAGUUAAAGAAUCAUUAGCUAGCUCAAAUCAAAUAAGUUCAAAAAUUAGACAGCAAAAUUAAAAUCUUUCAAAAUUAAAUAGUCAGAUCAAAAUAAGUAAUAAAUUUUUUAAUAUAAAAAUAAUACAACAUCUUAAUUAAUGGCACAGAUUCAAUCACAAUACUACUACCAUCUUACCUCAUCAUUGGUGCUAGAUCAAAUAUUAAACCAAUUAAAUUCGGUUAUAAAAUAUAAUUAUUAUUAUUCUAAAAACUUUUGAAUAAAAAAUUACCAUAAAUUAAAAUUUGAGAACUAAAAUAUCACGCGUCUUAUAAUUCCAGCGCAAGACAUAGAGCAAUUUAUCUUUCUUUCUUUUUUUUUCUUUUUUCUUUUGUACUUUUCUAAAUUUUUGUUUUUCCCCACCCCCUCUCUCUCUCUCUCUCUCUCUCUCUCUCUCUCUCUAUCUAUCUACCUAUCUAUCUACCUAUCUAUCUAUCCAUCUAUUGAGUGCUGUUGAGAAAGAGACAGGAGAGGGUGUUAUGCAUUCACUGUGAGAAUCUUGCAAGGAAGUCAUUGUAGAAUAAGCAGUCCGGACCUUAUCUUUUAAUCCCAGGAUAUUGCAGUCAGGACAGGAGGAUCAGCAAAUCCUAGCCUUGCUGGUAAUCCCUCCACCAAUCAUUCCUGCUAAUAUCCCCAAGACAUUAUUAUUAAUAUUCUUAUUAUUAUUCUGGGUGGUCAUAAAAGGGUGGGAGUAGUGAUAUUUUCCUCUUUUCAUUUCCUUCUCCUUUUUUUUUUCUUUUUUUUUUUUUUCUUUCUUUCUUUUUGUGAUUGAAGUUUAGAGGAGUAUAGUUUGAUUAUCUCUUUGUUUGUUUUGGGUGAAUUUGGUUUGGGGGAUAAAAAUGGGAUUUUGUGAGAGAGGGUUUUAACUUUAACUUUUAAGUGCUGCAGGGAAAAAAAAAGAAAGAAGAAGAAGCUUCUAGAGUUUCAGAAUCUCCUGGUGGCUCUCUUUUAGGCUGAUUUAGUGGUGGGUUUGGGAGAAAGAUGAGAUCUUGUGAGCAUCUGCUCUGAUCAAUCUGCACUGCUCUGCAGUAAAAGUUGGAUCUUGGAAGGAAAAGAGUUGUCAAAUUAUUUAUUGAGGGAAGCAUUUGAUUGCCAAACUCAGGAAGGGAGAUUUUGCAUUGCAAUCUUCUGGUGGUGGUUUUGUAUCAUCAAGCUAGGGUUUUUUUUUUUUUUUUUUUUUUUUUUUUUUUUUUUUUUUUUAUGAAUUGGGGGUAGAAACCACCAUGCCCCUCUCUGAAUUCCUGCUCAAGACCACGAAAUCGAAGCCCGGAACCGCGCAAUCCAAGAUGCCCAUCCCCAAUUCCUCCUCAUCUGAUCCCUUUUCUAUGUAAGUUUUGGCCUCUGAUCUCCCUGCAUUCACUUGUUCUUUGUGUCACCCUAUUUCCCUGUUGAUUGAUUAAUUAAUCUGUUGUGUUGAAUGAAUAUCUCUGAUCUGUGGGAUUGUAAUUGUAAUUGUAAUUGUAAUUGUAAUUGUAAUGAAGAUCUGAUCACGAAUUCGCGGAGCUUCUGUGGGAGAAUGGCCAGAUUGUGUUGCAUGGUCAUGCCAGUAGAUCCAGCAAGAAGAGCUGGGCGGCGGCAUCCGCCGCCGACCACCCGGAGAAAGCUCCGGCGAAGGACAAUGUGGAUUCCGUCGACGCGAAGAACGAGCAAUUGGGCGCCGACCUUUCGGUUCAUCAAGAGGAUGACAUGGUCCCGUGGAUCAAUUUCCGGAUCGACGAUGAGUCUCUCGAUGCCGAUCCCGUGCACAACGAUUUCUACUCGGAGUUCCUGGAAGACAUCGGCGUCCUAGGGCAGGAAGCUAAGAGCCCGCCGAACGCACCGCAGGAGAUUCCUUCGAAAGGAGCUCCGGCGGCUUCCGAGCGUGGCAGGGGUAAUAAGCCCAACCAGUUGAUUCAGCUCUCUCAAAAUUGUCAAAGCGCGGUUACGAACAAUAACUCGAGAGUUUCGGAACUCGGUAAUGGCGGUGGUAAAGCCCAGAUGGGCUAUUGCAUGGAAUUAGUGAAAAACACAAGGUUGGCGCCGAGACCGAACACGGGCGUGAACUUUGUCAACUUCCCCCUCUUCUCGAGGCCCCACGCUGUUAAGAUCAACGAUCGAGCGAGAGUAGAGGAGAAGGCAGCUGCUGCUCCAGUGAAUAGAAAUCUCGUCGAGUCUAGUAGUGGAGUUAAGAGUGUCGCCGGAAUUAAAGCCCUGCCGCGUAAGUUGGAGCUGGAAAAACCCGAUGCGCCCGGACGUCAACAUGUUAAAGUCCCUAGCGAGCGAAUUGAGGCUAAUCGCGAAAGAGGUGAAGAUCAUGAGACCGAAAAGGACGAUAAGAAUGCUGCUGCUAUUAAAGAUUGUAGCUUCGCAAAGCCAGAGACGGAGAAGGAUCCAGUAGCAGUGGUUGCUUCCUCUUCCGUGUGUUCCGUUAAUUCCGCAGGAAUUGAAUCGUAUGAACCCAAAAAUAAUAGAGAGAAGAGGAAAGUUAGCGAACGCGAAGAAUCCAGCGGCGAGCAGAGCGAUGUAAGUGUUUGACAAAAAGAGUGCGAACGAUCGGCUAGUUCCCUCAAUGUUUGUCAGUAAAGGAGCUCUUUUAACUAAUCCAUCCUUUUUUGUAUGCGGUAAGGAUCUUGAAGAUGAAUCGGUGGGAACAAAGAAGCCCGCGAAUGGGCGAGGCACGGGUGCAAAAAGAAGUCGAGCCGCAGAAGUACAUAAUUUGUCUGAAAGAGUGAGUCACUAGUUAACUAAUAAUGUACUCAAUUCUUUUAUGUGUUUCUUUGUUUUCUAAUUUAGAUGUAAUGUAUUUCUAUGCGGUUUGUAAUAACAGCGAAGGAGGGACCGGAUAAAUGAGAAAAUGCGGGCGCUACAAGAACUGAUACCUAACUGUAAUAAGGUAUCAUUUUUUUUUUUUUAAUUGCCCGCUCUCUGCCGUUCUAGUUUAUCAGAUGAUUCAGGAACCACCUAAUUUUGAUUUUUCUUUUCUUUUUUUUUUUUUGUUCAUACUUGCUUAAAGACGGAUAAAGCUUCAAUGCUCGAAGAGGCCAUCGAGUAUCUUAAGACACUUCAACUACAACUUCAGGUAAAGCUUAAUUUUUUCGCUAUGUUCUAGUGGGCUCUUUUGCGUGGUUAGAGCUUUUCUAGUGAAGUACGGUUUGAGUAGCGCUUUUCAAAGAAGCUCUGGUAUCUUUUUCAUCAAAAUAUCCUUUAAAGGUACUCAUAUUGUUGGAGCUAAAACCGAAAUUUCAAAUUUGAGCUUCUACUUCUGGCAUCCAAAAGCUCAUAUUAGUUUUCUGCAAAAGCAAAAGCUUUGGAUUACUUCGUAGUCAAAUACUUGGUUUGUAGAAGCUCAUGCUUUUUUGGAGUAAAGAAAUUGUUUAAGAAGCCAGGCAAUAGGCAUGAAAGACCAAUUUGGCCCUGCGAUAGGGUGCAGUCACUCUGUUUGACUAGUGGUACUACAAGAAGCCCUAUAAUAAGACCUCUCAAUUGCUUCCUUCAACAGCAGCGGUAGAAGGUCCAAAUUGAAUAUUCUACUUUUGGCCUCAUAAUCUUAUUUCAACUUUCCAUACUAGCUAAAAGUUCGAGGCUUUUCUAAAGUUCGAGGCUUUUCUCGGCACAAGACGCACACUAAAUGCGAUUCACUGUCUCAAAUUCCGUAACUUCUCUUAUGUUCUCUCUGGCAGAUGAUGUCCAUGAGGAAUGGGAUGUACAUGCCAACUCCUAUGAUGUUGCCGCCAGGGAUGCAACACAUAAACGGACCGGCGAUGGCCCAUUUCUCCCCGAUGGGUGUAGGGAUGGGCAUGGGCAUGGGCAUGGGCAUGGGGAUGGGGUACGGCAUGCACGUGAAUGGAUCACCAGGUUGUUCUUUAAUUCCGGUGCAGCCCAUGCAUGGGCAGCAGUUCCCGUGUCCUGCAAUCGCAGGCCAGGCUGCCUUGCACCGGAUGAUGCUCGGACCAGCUAAUCCUCCAGUCUUUGGGGCAAUUGCGCCACACCAACUUAGUUCGCCACCAUGUCAUGUUGUCAAGGGAAAUACAGCGCCUGAUGUUACCAUGCCAGCGGCUGCUCCAGCCCCGCCAACCUCAGAUCCGGCGGCGGCUCCAGUUUCUAGAGAUCAGAAGGAAGAAGGCAAAAACUUAUAAAUAUUGUAGAGAUCAAGAAUCAAUCGUGCGGGGAAGAUGGGUAAGUCUUGUGAGAUUUAUAUAUUGAUUCUCGAUCCAUAUCAUUAUCUUCACUUUGUUUGAUACCAAAUCAAGAUUGAUUUGUAGUUUAAGGAACUCAAAUGGGUCGAAUAUGGGGAGCUAGAUUUUCUUUUGCUCGGAAGGAGAUAUGAUUCAUCGAAUUAUAUUAUUUACUUCUCCUAUCUUACCUGUCUAGUAGUAUUUAGAUUUCAUGAGUAGAGGUUUAUUUUGGAUAGAGAAGUUUUCUUAUGUUUGAGAAUAGUAUAUUACCACAAUUCAGGCCUUAUAUCUACCAAUUUGCUUACAGUUAUCAAAGGCCGCCAAUUUGUUAAAUUCAGUUCAAAUCAUGGAUUAAUGAGAUUCGAAACAACGAAAUUAAGAAACUACAUUGCAAUUCCAUCCAAAUCGGCAAAUUCGGGUGUUGAAGUUUUCACCAUUCAGUAGUGUAAUUACUUAGAAUUGAUGUUAAUUACCUGCUACACUUAUUGUUGGUGUUAUCUGUUCUUGUUGUAGGUAGCAAUAAGGAAGGAUUAACAGCUAAAGAGUAUCUGAUGUACAUUACUAAUCGAAUAGCGACAACUCAAUCUGUGGGGAUCCCUCAACCUUGCAAGUGUAAAUGGGACAAGACAUCGCAACAGGUGAGUUCGAAACUUUUUCAGUGAGCUGUAAAUCACUUAAUUAAAUUUAUAUUCUUCACAUAAUUCGAGUCUUUUACGUUCUAUCCGCAAUCUUGCAGGCUACUGUUGAUGGGUUCCAUGCAAUGGGGGUUGCUCAAAAUGUUCCAUAAAUAACAACUUAUGUAUGUGAUCUAACAUGUGAAGGAUUCUCUCUCUAUAAGAGUACACCUCAAGUGCCAAUUUUGCUUUUUCCCAAGUGGAAUUGUGGGACAAUGUGUAGUAUAUUAGCAUGUUAAGAGUAGCUUAAGAGUUAAAAAAAACUUUGUUUUGCAUCUAUAAGUCGCGGAUCCGUGCUGUUAUUAUAUAAGGAGCAUGACCUUCAACUGUGUGUACUAAAAAUGGUUUGAUAUGAAUAAAAAUUUUCUUAAAUGGAUUUCACAAGAAUUUCAAUUAACUCUCACAUUGGUUCUUAUUUCUGUUAUUAUAAGAGUUUUAGUAGUACCUUCAAUGGUGAAAUGUUUCCCAGAUAUAAUGGAAUCAUUGAGGUAAGCAUAUGCACUUCCAAUGGGACUCUGUUAUUAUCUGUGGGUGUUAUUGAUUUAUUUAUUUAGUUUCUCUUUUUAAGCUUUAAGGAUGAGUUGAACAUACGAAAUUCAAUCAAUGAGUUACACUAUUGCUGUGAGUAUUGCAAUUCUUGUCAUAAACAGUUUCCUAAAGAUUCUUAUGGUAGAAAACGGUUCAGAAAUAGUUUUAAUGUUUCUGUUUACAUGUAUUAUGAAAACAACAUGAAUCAUACUACAUGAACAGAUUAAUUGCAACUCACAAUCUCUUAGAAGUUGGAAGUGAAGAGAGAGAGGUACAAAAUUAGUUGAACUGAGAUAAUGCAAGUUAAUGAUUGUAUCACAUGAAUAAAGCCAAUACCACAGACAUGAUCUUUGACUCUUUUAAUACAAACUCAUUUGCUUCAUCAUUUUAACUAACAAAACAAUCACCACAUAAAGUUGAUUAUUAUCCAUAUAAUAUAAUACACAGCUAAUCAUAAUAUAAACAUAACAAAUAUGUCUUAAAUAAACUAUAGACACUGAAAUAAAAGAAAUCCCAACUUAAGCACACUGCACACCAUACAAAUGUAUUUAACAGAAAAAAAAAAGAACCAAAAAAAAGAAGAAGAAAGAAUCAAAACCAAUAAAUGACACACCAUCCCAUGUUUGCUGCAUCUAAAAUAUUCCAUGCAAUGCCAUCUUUGCAGCAGUUUUAAUCCUUCACAAGUAAUACCCAACAUAAAUAUUUAUUAUUUUCGAAUUUAUUUUGAUGAGGUAUCAUCCUUGUCUCCUGCUGACAUGGCCUUUGAACUUGGCGAUUUUCCGAUUAUCGCCUUCUUCACCUUGACGAUCGAAUGCUUCACUUUGGAUAUGAUGUUGUUUGAAUGGCGUGGCGUAGUCUUAACUGUGACGUUCUGUUUAGGCGCCUCUUCUUCUUUCUUUGCCGCAUCGUCAGCUUUAAAAGUUUCAGCUAGGUUUCUCUCGGCAGGUUUCUCGCUCUUCUCAUUUUCCGUGCCUUCAUUUUCUUUCUCAGCAGUGUUUUCAACCAUCUCCCCGUCCUUCGUUGCGGAAUCACCGUCCUUGGAGGGCUCAACCAAGUUGGCCACGACCGUCUCUCCCUUGUCUCCUUCGACUUCUUUGUUUUUCUCAGCCUCCCCAGAACUGUCAGCAGUUUCUUUGACAGUCUCUUCGGCAGCCUCUCCAUCCUUCUUCGCUAAUUCACCAUCUUUGGAGGAUUCAACUAUGUUUGUCUCGACAUUUUGCUCGGCGACUUGCUUUUCCUCCUUAACUUCUUUAUCUUUCUCAGCCUCCUCAGAGCUGCCAAUUGGUUCUUUUGCAGUCUCCACAGAAUCAGCAUUUUCAUCCUUCUUUGCGUCGACCAACUCAGAAGCUUUCUCCUCAACAAAUUCAGCACUCUCGGGUAAUUUCUCUUCCUUAGUUUCAACUUCAGCGACCGCAGAAUUGUCCGACUCCUUAGAGGUUACGUCCAAGUUUGGCGUUUCAUCCUUCAAACUCUCAUCCUUUUUCUCAACGAUUUCAGCAGCUUCAUCAGCAACUACAGGAGGAGCUUCAAGUUUUUCAGAGACUUCCUCUUUAUUUUCUAAAUCCUCAUCCUUACUCUCUUCCACUUUAUCUCCGACGCUCUCGUCUACAUUCUUGUCUACGAUAACUUCAGCACUGUCGACUUUUUCUGCUUCACUCGGAAUCGGCUCUUUGUCUUGCACAUCACUUUCAUUCUUCUCUUCUUCGAUCUUAGUCUCCGGAUUCUCAGGCUCUUUCGCAGUUUCAGUAACUACACUUUCGGCAUUUGCCUCACUAACAACUGCACCGACAGAAGGAUCAGAUGACUGAGCUUGAACUGCAACUUCUUUCACCAGUUCUUCUUCGCCCUUAUCGCCCUCGACAUCUUCUUUAAUUGGUUCAUCAACUAACAUUUCCUCAACCUUAUUGCUCUCAUCUUCCGAUUUCAGCGGUUCUAUAACUUCCUUCUCUACAAAAUCCGGUUUUGGUUCUUGUACUGGAGAUUCCUCAAUCUUUUCUUCCGAUUCUUCUGCUCCAGUUUGUGGUUCUUUAGCUUCUUUUGAUUCUUCGUCGGUAGCUUUGUGUUCCGACUCUAAAGGAGCGGAAACGUCGACCGCUUCUUUAGGAUCUUUUGCCUCUUCCACACUGCUAUCGCCAGCCACAGCAAUCUCUUCUGAUGCAGAAUCUUUAACGCUUUCUUCCUCAGAUUUUUCCUCUUUUGCAGAAUCCGGCUUCGAUUCUUGAAGCGAAGGUUGCUCGGACUUCUCCUGUGAUUCUACUGCUUCAUUUUGUGGCUCUUUUGCAUCGUCAACGUCGGCUUGGAUCUUUGGUUCCGUACCAGUAAUUCCCUCAUUUUUGGGUUCAGCGACACUCUCUUCUUUGCCGCCCUCCGUAAUACUGUCGACCACUUCCUUCUCCUCGACAGCCUGCAUAUAUUUCAUGAAAGAUAACUACAGAAGGAAAUAUUUUGGCGCAACUAUCUGAACAGUUAAUGUAUCACUACAUAUCAUUACAUUGCUUUGGAUGAUUUAUUAAUUGUCAUGCUGAAAGAAUGAAAAAUCCUGGUAAUGCAGCGGCACCGGAUCAGUAUACUGAAACCAACUUUUGAUGUUCAUCACAAUUCAAACUUGGAAGUCAGUCAUGUCGCGGACUUAUUAGAUAGGGCAAACCUGCAGCCCCACUGUUCCCGAGGUAUUAGUCGAAAUUUUGUAGCUUACGCCUUAUGGUGACCCUCGGCAUAUAAAACCUUCUAUGGUCCUCGCUUAGGAUAAUUCUCGAUAGGUUGUGUGCAGUCGCAAAUUUGAGAUAUCAAAAGAGCUCAGAAAUCAAAGUAGAGAAUAUUAAGGGCAUAAUUAUAUUUUUGUUUCCAUAAACUCGAAAAUUGAAUUCUUCACUGUAGCUGUUUUAUAUCUCCUGCUCUUGUGUAGUCCUUCCAUUUUUCUGCAUCUCGCAAUUGAAUUCGAAGCAAACACGUUUUACAUGCGGAAGUAUUGUACAUUCUGAAUUCUAAAGCUCGGAAAUUAUGCCAAAACACGCUUCGAACUUCAAACAAAACACAUAGUAGAAAUCAAUUCCUCAAACAAAAUAUAAUAAAUUGAAAAGGAAAAAAAAUGGCAAACAAGCCCCAAAUUGUAUGGCAAAAAGUAGUAAACAAAAAUAAAAGGCAGGCAGACAUAACUCAUAAGAGAUGUUUUAGCAUUCUAGACUAAAAUCAAGGAUGAGAGUUUUCUGUCAUUUCAAAUUAUGCAGAGGAAAAACUUGAGCUCCAGAGAAUGGUGUUUUUAGUAUUUCAUAUUUAAUACUCCGCCUCCUGUCUGAGCUCGAGACAUUCUGAUAGGUCCAACACGUAAACUUGAAUUAAAUAGAAGGAAAUUAAUGGUAUCAAAAAGCCUGGUGGGACUCGAAUCUACGACAUUCCACUUUAAUAGCAGAUUAAAGAAUAUGAAAGAACUAUUAUUCUCUAAGAACUUAAGCUCUAGAGAAUGGUGAUUUUAAUAUUUUAUAUUCAACGUGUACGCCAUUUUUUUUCUCUUUUUUCUUUGAUAAACCAAAAAAAAAAGAAGAGAUGAAUAGAUGAUUAGGCUAUACAUACAUUACUUACUCUGGGAAACAUAAUAAGCAUCUAUAUUCUCUGACAGAUAGUAUUAGAUCUUCCAUGGCCAGCUUAUUCACAUAAAUAUAAUAUCAGGCUAGAUAUGUCAAUCAUCUUUUCCAUUGAUUUAUGAGGAGUGUAAAUAAUCAUACAAUAUUUAAGGAUCUGAUGCAUGCAUAUAUCAUUACACCAAAUAAAGUUCUUAAUUAUUAUUAUUAUUAUUAUUAUUAUUAUUAUGAUUGUUUAUACUUCAUAAGAGGCCUAAAGAGAUGGAUCCCUACAAGUCCAGUUUCAAAUUUAAUCAGAACAGAUUAGAAGAAACAAAAAGUAAAGGAAAAAAAAAAAAAAAACUGCCUCAUGCAUAGAUUUUGGUUUCUCUUCUCCUCUCUCUCUCUCUCUCUCUCUCUCUCUUCAUUUUCUGCAGGUUUAUCAGCUUAAAUGACAAGUUUUUGGUCUUAAAUGACUCAUAAAUGCUCAAGUACUUGCAGAGAGAUUUGUCCAAUAGGAAAUAUUGUCUCCAAGGAGCAUAAGAUCACCAAAACAGUGGGGAUCUUUUUUCUUGCAUAUAUCAUCAUAAAAACAACCACAACCACACACACACAAAAAAAAAAAAAAAAAAAAAAAAAAAAAAAAAAAAAAAAAAAAAAAACCAGAAACAUAAGUUUUUUUUUUAAAAAAAAACACAAAAUGAAGCAUGGGCUUGUAAUCUGCAUACCUUAUCAGUUGCUUGAUCUGUUGGUAAAGCCUUAGUAGAAUCCAUGGAUGGAGAGAAAAAGCUUACUACUACUACUUCUCCCCAAGUUAAUUAUCACCCCUUUUUAACUUCAGAAUUUCAGAUAAGAGGCAAAAGCAAAGUAGAGGACCAAAAGAGGAGCAAAGCACAAUGAGAGAGAGAGAGAGAGAGAGAGAGAGAAAAAGAGCUUUUUCCUUUUUUUUUUUUUUUUUUUUUUUUGGUUAUUAUUCAUAACAGUGUGGCAGAAAAGCACCACAAUAGCUCAGUUGGCUAGAGUGCAGAGAGCCCAUGAGCUGUCAUGAGCUGGGGCCCAUCAGAUUGUCUGAUUCCUCUUCUAUGAAAGAAAAAGUAAUUAAAUUAAUUAAAGAAUUCUAAAUUAUUCUUUUAAUUUAGUUAAAAAGAAGAGAAUUGCACUCCUUUUUCUGGCAUGUACACUCUGUCUUUCUGCAUGAGUAUGUGAGGAAAAUAUGUAUUAGGAAAUAGUGAUCUCAAAAGGUGUGUUUUGAUGUAAAUACAUGCAUUAAUACAUUAGUCAAAAAAGGAAAAAGGCUCAAAUACAUUGUUUCACAUGUAAAACCAUUCCAUUAAUCUAUGAUUCCUAUUUUACUUCUAUGUGAUCAUCUUUCCUUGGAAUGUCUUUAUAAUUGAAUAAUAUGUAUGUAUGUAAACAAUUGUUGACAAAAUGAUGUUCUUUUUUGAAUCACAAAUUGGUGAAGUAAAAUCAGAUUACACAACAUGGGCAUCCAAAGUUUUUUUACCUAUGUAUGUAUUCAAAAAUGCAUGGAAUUGGCAUGAUGAUGAGGAUGAUGAUAUCAGGCCUUUUCCAAAAGAGGGUGCUCAUGGCUGUUGCAUGGGGCACACCACACAUGGGUGAUCACUGGGGGAAAAUAAUUUAUGGGGAGCACCUAACGAACGCCUCUGGCAUGUGUCAGUUUUAUCUCUAUUCAAAAAUAAUUAUUUUUUUUUGAGUUUUAGUAUUUAAAAAUAUUUUAAAAAUUUUUGAGUGCAAACAAAACUAACACAUGACAGUAGAUCGGAAGCUUUCGAUCCAGGUGAGUUCCUCGCUGAAGUUUUAUCCAUCACUGUGUAUGGCUUGAAUUCAACUAAGAGAUUUCAGAGGGUGCAAUUAAUAAGAGAUACAAACACACAACACACACACAAAGCAGUGGGGGUUAUUUUCAUACAUAAAUUUUUGAUUGACAGAUAGCCCUUUGUCUUGUUAUCUUCCAGUCCUCUAGUGUUCCUUUCAGAUUGUGAUAUGCUUUCUGUAAGAAAUUAAGACCAUGUUCUCUCUUUUGAGAUCUGGAAAUUUCCAAGGCAACUUCACCAAAUUUUUUAGAGUAAGUGGCAAAGGGCUUGGUGGUUGGUACCCGAGACCCAAGUUCGAAUCUUAGUUGAUUCACAUUUGUAGCUAAGUUUAUUUCUAAAUGAAAUAAACGAAGCGGGUAGCGUGCUACCUAUCUCUCAAAAAAAAAAAAAAAAAAAAAAAAAAAAAACUUUCACCCAAUUCCGUACUGUUGCUAGCAAUUAUAUAUAUAUAUAUAUAUAUAUAAUCUUGAAGAAAUAGAAACUAUUAUCUGUACAGCCCAAAAGAUAUAUAUAUAAAUCUUACAUUCUAUAUGGCUUCUAUUAUCAGGAAUAUGCAAUCUCCUCAAUCUUAAAUUUAUUUUAAUUUUUCCAUGGGCCCUCUUCAACCGCAAAAUAUUUUUUUAAUACAAAGUUUGGUUGUCCUUUUACUAGAUUAAAAUUCCAAAUGACAUCAUAUCACAACAAAGAGUCAAUUAUUUGAUCCUUCUAGCUAUAAUUACUUUACAAAAAUAAUAAUUUAAUAUCAUAAUUUAUGUUUCUCAAGGACAUAAUUGAGAUUACAUUGAGCACAAGAUGAUGACAUUUGUGUAUUGGGUAGGUGAGUCAAGGUUUGUUCUUCCACAUACAGACAAAAUGCUUUCGACAAUGACAUGGAUACUAAAUUUUGAGAUAAUCUUGAUUUAGAGUAGUCAUAAAUGUUUGAUUGCAACAUAACUAAUUAAUCAUUUUUCAAUUUAAAUCUCAUAUUAAAUGAAAAUUAGAAUUCCAAUUUCUAUAUACUAUAUAUAUGACAAUUUUAUCAUCUAUCGGCUUAAACUUCUGGAAUGGUUCGAACUGUAUUACAAUACCUCGACUAUCAUAUGCUUACACUUUUUAUUUUCUGGUAUCAAACUAGUACCAAGCCAGCGCUCGAUAUUUUAAGGAUGCAAACGGGGCGGAUUUGGGGGCAGGAGCCCCGCCCCGCCUCCCGCCCGCACUAUCAAAAUCUCGCCCCACCUCCUGCCCCGAAUGCGUGAUGGGUUAAAAAAUAUAUCCCAUAAUUCGCCCUGCCUUGUAACCCGCCUUCCGCCGACGCCCCGAAUCCGUCCGCCAACUAAUAUUUUCUAUAUAAUUUUUAAUAAUAUUAUAUAUAUAAUUAACAAUUUCAAUUAUAAAAACUAAAAAUAUCAAUUACAAUUCGGAGCAAAAUUUAAAAGUUUCAAAUAGAUGAGAAAUGAGAGCAUUAAUUUAUUUGUAUUUUGAACUUUUUUGUAAAUACAUUAUUUUUUAGGAAUGUUUUAUAAAAAUGUAAAAAAAUUUCGGGGUGGAUCCGGGACGGAUCAUGACGGGGCGAAUUCGGAGCAAAUUUAGGGUUUUCCGUUUCCUGUCCCGAAUCCAUUUCGGAUCAUAAAAAUUGUCCCGUUUUCCACCCUGAUUUACUGCCCCAUUCGGGGCGGAUCUAGGCGGGAGCUCCACCAACCCAGAUCCGUUUGCAUCCCUAAUUCGAUAUUCUAAAUCCGUCCUAGACCCAUCUCUAACCCGUCCCCGAACCGCUACGCUCGAAUCAAUAUUAUUUGUUUCAAUUCGAACAGUAUUUCAUAGCCAUUCUAACAAAAGGUGUUCUCCCACUAUAAGAAAAUUAAUAUUUAAUAAGUAUAUUUUCUUUCUGGUAUUCAACGAUAUUUAAAAAUAUUUUUAAAGUAAUUUACUAUUAAUUUGAAUGCAUCAACAAUAAAGAGUUGUUAUAUAUAUACUGACACUUAUACUAAAUGUUGGUAAAAUAUAUCAUGAUACUCUAAAGUGUUGAAAAAUUAAAAAAAAUAAUAAUAUUUAUUGUUCAAUAAAUUGGUUUAAUAAAAUAGUUUAAUAAAAUAGACGGUUCAUAUAACAAUAUUUUUUAAAGCAUCGGUAUUUGUUAUCGUCUAAAAAAUAUCGUUGUCGCGCUUGGAUAUUUAUUUGUUGCAUCACUAUUGGACUAAUGCUUAACUAGUUGGACAUCAUUAAAUGCAUGUGAUUAACCCAUUUAAUUUUUGGCCUUAGAUUUAAGAAAAAUAUAAUUUGGCCCCUCCCCAAAUCAAAAGAGAGGAAAAAAAAAAAAAAAAAAAAAGGGAUAAGGUUUACCCUACAAGAGCACAUUUUAAUGUGAUGGGUUCCAAUUGCUUUGUCAUGCAUGGGUCCCUAAGGUCCCCUACUUAAUACAUGACCUAACCUCUUGGACUCAUCAUCUUGCUUCAUUUUUGAAGCCUCAUUAAAAAAAAAAAAGAAAAAAAGAAAAAAAGAAAAAAAGUUAGGGCUUCAUCCAUUGGGUUCAAAUUUAAAUUUGAUAAGCUAGAACUUGUUGUUGAAUUGUUGUUUGAGUAGAAUUAUUUAAAAAUAUUGUACCGUAAUUUUGACAUAAAUGUCAAUUUUAUGAAGAAAUUUUGUCCUGCUUUUAUCGAAUCGUACUCUGAAUAACAUGCUAUUAGAAAUCUAAUUCUAAAACGCCUUGUGUCGAAAUUUUUCAUAUUCGAUUAAUUUCCACAUUGACCAAAAGGCAUAAAUUAACUUUGAUUGUUAUUCUUUUGCCUCUUUUAUUAUUUUCAAUGUUACGACACAUGGCAUAUAUGAUUCACCUAUUCUUCACUAUGAACGAAAAAUGGAGACGUUAAGAUUAUUUCUGAACUAUUUCCCAUCCGAUCUAUCUUUUGAAUAACAACUCCCAAUAAAUUUUCCUUCUUUUUUUGCCUAGCAGAAGCGAAAAAAUUGGGACUACUACUUUUUGAAUGAAAAAAUUUAUUUCAACUUCGCAAUGCAGCAAAAGCACAAAAUUUUUUGUUCCUAACUCAAUAAACUGAACCAUAUUAGGACCAAACUGGCUUGUGUGGAUCAGAAUUUGCUUUUCUUUUUUUCUUUUUUUUUUUUUCCUUUCUCCUUUUUGUUUUUUGUUUUUUGUUUUUAACAAAAGAAAAGGUAUGGAACAUCUUGAUAAGUUUAAAGGAUCCAUUGGCAACAAUAGGAGAUAUAUAUAUAGAUAGGAAAAUGAUGAGAGAAUGCUACUAAAGCCACACAAAAAAUGCAUGGUUCAACUACAUCCCAAUUACCACACUAUUCCAAACAAUGAGAUUGAUGUUCUCUCAUUUUCACAGAAAAAAAAAAAACAAAAAAAAACAAGUCAAUAAAUUUGUCACCAUAAUGAGCUACUAAUUCUCUUGAGCUUUUACUUUCAAAGGUGAGGAGGUUUGAUGAGGAUAAUAUAAUUAAUGUUACUUUUUUAUUUUUUUUAUAAUAUAUGAAAGAUUUAAUAAAAGAUUUAUUGCAUAUUAAAUUAUUAAGAAAAAAUCAUGUUAAAGUCUAGUAUUUAUGUGGUUAAUUGAGUUUAUUAAUUUGACCUGCUUCAUAAUUGGGCCCAAAGAGAGAUAUUGGGCUCAAAGCAUUUGUGAAACAGAAGAAAAUAAAGGCAAAAUAUUAAUCCAUUUAAAAUAACAUGGUGUUAGAGCAAACCCUAUACGGCCGUGCGCCUAUGCCGCCUCCAGUAAUGGCCAAGAGAUCGAUCAUGCACUCUCACUGUACGUGGCAUAGUUUAUCUGAUCUCCAACACGCACAUGAGCAUGCAGAAGUGUUAAGAUUACGUCUGAACCAUUUUCUAUUAGAUCUUUUGAGUAAUCGAUGCUAAAGAAUGAUUAGCCAACCGGGUCUAAUCAUUUACCAGAGCUUGCGCCUGGCCCGAACCAACCUGGACUAAAAAUUCUCAAAUUUUAAGAUGGCUCGACCGGAUAAUAAUAAACCCAAGUCGAUCAAACCAUGGUUUUCUUUUUUGUUUCAAAUUUAAUUAUGCUUCAUAUGAUCAAAUAUAUAUAUAUAUAUAUAUAUAUAUAUAUAUAUAUAUAUUUUGUUGGACAAAAUAAAAAGGCUAGAACACAUAAAACUCCCCGUGUAAGUACCUUUUUUUUUAUUAUUUUUUCUCUCUUGACUUUCAAAACUAUAGGUAGCACGCCAUCCGCUUCGUUUAUUUCAUUUAUAAAUAAACUUAGCUGAAAAUGUGAAUCAACUAGGAUUCGAACUUGGGACCUCGGGUUCCAACCACUAAGCCCUUUGCCACUUGUUCUAGAGACAGUCGGUUGCCCCCUUAAAUUUUAGAAAUAUUUUUAAAAGGUUACAGUGUUAAUGUAGAGAAUGAAAUAAUCAAAUUGCCCCUAUAUUUUCUAUAAGAAAAAAAAAUAUAUUUCUAUUAUUUUCAAGGAUAUUUUCAAUAUAAAUUGUAAGAAAUUGACAGAAUAGUAACAGAACCCUGACAAGAGGAGGCAAAAUGCAUCAACUUGAAAUUUAGAGGGGGUAAAAUAUAGAUUUUUGAAAGUCGGAGAGCAAAAUGGAAAAAUGGAUAUGUACAGAGAGUUUUUUGUAUUUUAGCCAAAUAGUAAAAAAAAAAAAACCUUCUUCUCGUUCUACUUCAUAUAAGGCCUAAUAUCUUGAUGGCCCGGCCCAAUCAAAUGGGCCCAAUAUAAGAAAGUCGGCAUCAUUAGAUAUCUCGGCAACGACUUUAACACGAACUCGGCGUUUCCAAACUUAAUUUGAGCCACCGACAUCUCUUUAUGAGGUCUCGCCAUCGAAAGGGUCUGGCGUAAGAAGAGAUUUUCUCCUCUUUUUUUUGGCUUUUUUCCCUUUUUCAUCGUACGUAAAUAGUUAGGUAUAUAAUGUUUUGUCGUAAUUAAUAUAAGUUUCACCAAGAAUUACGUGUGAAGGAGAUUAUUAAAUUUGGGUAGUGGUGAAGCAUCAUGUUUAAGUUUUGUUUCUUUAUUAUUAUUGUGAUUGGAGUUUUUAGGGUUAGUUGGGCGUUACGUAGGGCUUACGUAGCAGCCAUUUCCAUCACAUUUAUGAAGGGAAGUUGAGUCCACUGUAUACUUUCCUAUUAUAUCAGUCAUUUGGACAAUUAUAACUUUAGUGUCUACUUUUGAACCCUCUUAGUUACAAGGGUAGAUUUGUAUGAUUAAUCGCUUUUAUUAGUUUGUUUCAUUAAUUAUCUCUUCUGUCAGUGCAUGCGCUACUGUUCUCUUGGUCUCCAUCAUUCACAAGAGGAGAGGAUACUACGGCUUUUUAGAACCGGCUUUUGCUUUUGCUUUUAGCAGCAGCGAAGUUUUGGUAAUUCGUUUGCUUAAGGGAACAAUUUGAAGCCUCUAACACAAAAACUCCAAUUUGUUGUUUCUGUAAUUAAUCUACUUCAAAAUAAAUAGCAUAUAUAACCGGGGAAGCACUGUAUUAAACAACACUAUACUCUAUAUAGCAGCGAAAAUUUUGUUCUGCGUUAACCCUAAUAUUUGAGGCAGAUGCUGAUGCUAUAACAGCUCGAAUUGAAUGGGCCCCUUUGGUCUUAAUGAGUUUACUGUUUGUCAAAGUUUGAUUAAGAAAUGCCAAAUGAUACCCCUUUCAACAAUUAAUUCAACAAUUGUUGCGAUUAAUGCGCGUAACAUAUAUAUAUAUAUCAACAUUGUGGCCCUUGUUUAGCUCCAUAUGAUGUACGUACGUACUGCUUUACAGUACAACAACAUUAUCACACAGGAAAUGUGAUUGCAAAAGGUGGCGACGAGGUUGAUUAAUUGUUAAUUUCUCUUUGAUCCUCAUUUUCUUUUGCCCCUUAAUUACCUUGUUUCUGUUGCUAUAUAUCUUUCAUUUCGGCUCUACGAUCUUAAUUUCUCUUAUUUCAUUUUAGCACAAAAUGUGAAGCUUGGAAAAACAUCAAAAUACUUAUUAAUUGCUCGAUUUGCUGUUUAUCCACAUUUCUACGGAUAAAUAGCGAAUCUAGCUAUCAAUAAGUUGAACCAUGCUAUAUUAUAGAUAUAUAGAUAGAUAGAUAGAUAUUUAAUUAUGCACGUAUCUAGAAGGAGUAUAACAAGUCCUUUUAUUUCACAAUCAAAUUGUUGUGUAUAUAUAUAUAUAUAUAUAUAUAUACGCGCGUUCUUUUAUUUCAGAAUCUCGGUUAUUUUCAAGAAAAGUAAUGAUAAUAGUAAACUCAGCUAACAAAGUUGGGUGCAGGAGAAAUGUGACUACUCAGAUCAAAUGUAGGGUCGAUCGAUCGGGUUUUAAUUUUAAUUAAUUAGUUGAACAUAUAUAGAUGUAUGUAUAUUGCUACUAAUAUAUAUAUAUAUAUAUAUAUAUAUAUAUAUAUAUAUAUAUAUAUAUAUAUAUAUAUAUAUAUAUGUGUGNUAUAUAUAUAUAUAUAUAUAUAUAUAUAUAUAUAUAUGUGUUAGGGUUAAAUUGGGAAUUAAUUAUAUAUGUGGUCAUUUUGGUCUCCACCUACCCAUCUUUUGCAUGAAUAUAUAUAUAUAUAUAUAUAUGAAAAGGUAAAACAACAUUAUCUUCACACCCUUUCCGUGCGAGCUGAGAAAGCGAAUCAUUCUAGUCAUAUAUAUAUAUAUAUAUAAUAACCUUAAUUGAAAAUAUGUAUAUAAAUGUCAUUAUCAUGACAAAAUUGCAUAACUUAUGCAAUUGCUGUAGCUUGAUUGUUUGUUUUAUUCUCUGAUGAAUGCAAUUUGAAUAGCACUGGCCAGUGCAUAUAAGUCGUCGGAAACGGAACCCUAUUACGUACAGAACAUUAAAAAUGGGGAACAAUAAUUUUAUGCAUGUGGUGCCAAAUUAAUGGACGCUGUAUUGCUAUGAUCUAUUUUUCAUUUUUGAGCAUAUAUGCACUUUUGGGCAUCUUUUACUACUGUAAAAUUUGUUAAUAUAUAUAUAUAUAUAUAUAUAUAUAUAUAUAUAUAUAUAUAUAUAUAUAUAGAGUUGACAGACCAAAAAAUGGGUCAGUCGACAAACCAAAAUUUGAAAUACGUGCUUUUAUAUAUAGUAUAGAUAUAUAGAACUAGGCUAAUAUACUAUUAAUAGCACAAGUCAUUAAUUGGUUCUACCAAGUUUUUGGCCAUUGGAUUAAGAAAUGUACGGUUAGGAUGAUGUGGGCCUUCUAGGGUUGAGUGGGUGGUUGGUUGAAUAGUAUGAUCUAACGGGUGAAAAUGAUCAAAAGGGUAGAUCUAACGGCGGAUAUAUAUAUAUCGAUAGCACCAAGUGCUUGCGUAGCUAUAUCAAUAGCUAUAGUAGACAGACUAUAUAUACAGAUAUAGAUAUAAAUAGUAUAUAUAGAGAGAGAGAGAGAGAGAGAGAGAGAGAGAGAGAGAGAGAGAGAGAGAGAGAGUUGAACUGGAAUGCUAUAUGUCGGUGGCAUUAAAUUUUUGACCCUUGGAUGAACCGGUGUAUAAUUAAGAUGAUAGUGGUCCUCUAGGAUUGAGUGGGUGGUUGGUUGAAUAGUAUAAUCUAAUGGAUAAAAAUGAUCAAAGGGGUUGAUCUAGUAUAUAUAUAGAGUAGGGCUACUACACUCUUAUGAGUAUAGAGCCCUUCGUAUUCAUAAGUUGUUUUCGAUGAUAGAGCUUCCGAGUCGACAAUCCACUCCGUUAAAUAUGAUCUAAAGUAUUUGAAACUUCUAAAAAAUAAAUUUCGUAAUUUUUCGAAAUCAUAGUAAAGUCUAUCAAGCGGAUAUAAAAUGAACGAUCAAAAUCGAACAACAUCCUAAAAAGGAUGAUCGGAUCCUUUAAUUAAAGAUCGGAGUUAUUGAUCUUUAUUUAGAUAGUGAAUAAAAUUUUCUAUCAAAUAUUCAACCGAUUCGGAUUCUUUUAUACCAUUAAACUAGCAAGUAUUCCAUACCAGCUGUUAAAAAUUAUCAAUUUUGAAAUCUUUUGAUCGUAAGGUAAAUGAUGUGAAAAAAUUAUAAAAUUUAAUUUCUAGAAGUUUCGAAUGCUCUAGAUAACGUUUAACGAUAUGGAUCAUCGAUUCGGAAGCUCUACCAUCGAAAACGACUUAUGAGUACGAAAGCGAUUGCAUUCAUAAAAAUACAGUAGUCGAACUCUAUAUAUAUAUAUAUUUAUAUAUAUGAACUUGAAUAUACAAAUUAAGUUUGAUGAGUUACACAUAUCUUUUGCUAUAAAGUUAAUUUUGUUGCUUUGCCCAAAGCAACUUCAUGUAUGAGUAUGCUAAAUGGAUGCUUUUUGUAUUGCAUAUAUACUAGCGUCUAUUUUCUCUUUUUCUUUCUUUUCUUUUCUUUUUUAUUUUUUUUUCUAAUCGAUGUUCAAAAUACAUAUGAAAACUUUCACUAGAAUAGUGUUGUAUUAAGCAUGAUAUAGAAAAUGUCCCCAUAUUGUCUAUUUGGACGAAUAGAAAUUAAUUUUCAGAACCAUCGUCGAUCAAGUGCUUAAUUUCUAUGCAUUAAUUAGAUAUAUAUAUCAUUUAUAUGUAUAUAUAAACUUGAGAAAGUAGUUUGUCUCCUGUUUGGUCUCACUUCUGAAACAACUUUUUAUUUUGAGUAGCAGCAAAAACUCUCAAUUCAGUGCAAUGUUGUACUACGAUGCUUGUAGUAUUAUCAACCUAGCUACCCUGUUUUGUGAUGCAUUUAGUCCUUAGAAACCGUACAUAAUAUCUAUAUUAACGUGCGUAUAAUUAAAAUCUCAACUAUUAAUCUCACUACAAAAGUGAUCAUUUAUUUCCCUCAUGAGAUUUUUUUUUUUUUUUGAGAGAAAGGUAGCCUCAUGAGAUUAUAUUAAUUUUACUGGAUGGCAAAGAUUAAUUGUUAGAUGGAAACUGUGUCCUCAUAUGAUGCACAUCCCCCUUUUGUUCAUUGUUGGAUAUGUAUUAAGUUCUUAGAUAUAAUUAAAUACAUAUGUCUCUCCCUCUCUUUCCAAUUAGUUCUUAAAAAGAUUUUAAACAGUUGCGCGAUGUGGACUAAACAUCAUUAUCGAGUAAACAUUGGUCAUUAUGUUCAAUUAGUUGGUCUUCUUACAAGCAGCUGGCAUGUCCAUUAAGCCCUUUGAAAGAGAUGGUUUUAUAUAUAUUAGGUGGUGAUAUGAGAUCCCAAUCACAUCAUUCAAGGUAUUAUUGGGGGUUCCUUCGAGAUUCAUUCGUUUCAUGAAUCCGCAACCACUGAUACUCAAUAACCAACCAAAACAUCAUGUCGAGGCGCUGCUUAAUUUUCUAAUUUGUGUUCAUUAUUUUUCUUAUUCCAGCUUGUUUUAAACCGUGACGGAAUUAACCUGGUCGAUGUGCAUCGUAAGGGAGUCAUGUCAGAAAAAGUUGUUGACCUAAUCCUAGGAGUCGUCAUGAUUUCGAGUUGAAUGAGAGGGACAUAUUUUGAUGUCGAACAAUUUGAUUCCAUGCUAAUUAAGAAGUGAUUGCAAGUCUCUAGUCGAUAAACUAACGACAAAAGAAAUUUACCACACGUUGGAGGAAGCGCACGCAUUUAGUGAAGGACAUAAUAGCAAAGCAAUAUAUUUAAGUGGAAUAUUGGAGUGCAAGUUAGAAUUAUUACAAGCGAAAUAAACGAUGAAAGAUUAAUUGAGGUUUUAACCUUAAUCUUUAUUGUGUUAAUGCUCUCUAACUAGCGAUUUCGAGUGCUUCAUUUUCAUGCUAAGCUAAAGAUCCCUUGAAUAUUGUUCAUGGGAUCGACUCAUCAAUUAGAAAAGGUUUUAAUUUGAUCCAUGUCCUAUAUAUACAGGUGCAAUCAUGCUCCUUCAAAUCAAUUAAAAGAUUUUAACUUCAAUUCAUGAGGGAGAAAAAAAAAAAAAAAUGUAAGCAACCAAAGAAUAUAUCUUUGCUUUAAGAGUCGUGCUGGUGUCGGGUCCACGGCCCAGCGAGCCCCUUGUAAUUAUUCCCUGAACCCCGUUCGUUUUCUAUGCCACUCGUGACCGGCCACGUGGAAAAUCAACGGUGCUAAAACCGCGGUCUACUGAUGUUCUCAUGCACCGGGUGUAGGUCGUGAUUAUACGCCCACGCGACAAAAAAGUCGACCGUGGCGGGCGCCCGUGAGACCCGCGAUCCGACGUGGCAGCGCGUUGACUUUCAACGGCCGCCUCUUCUCAUCGCUCUUCGACCGUACGAUUUUAUCCGAGAUUCGCGGUGGUGGUUUCCUUCCGCCACGUGGCGAGUUUUCGCAGGUAAAGCGUUGCUUAUGGACCACGUCACCCACCGAGGCGCGGGCCCCACAGUCUUAUUGGCGGCGGGACCCACGUGCGACAGCGCGGGCUCACGUGCGGGUUGGCGCCUUUUGUUCUUUUCUUAAGAGUCCCUGUACUAUUCCGAAACUGCAAUUUAAACCAUUUAUUAUCUUUUUUCUUUUCCUUUUUGAGUAAACUUUAAUUUGUACUUAACUACAGUUUAGCUUAUUUUUACUCUACCACCAUAUAAACUUACACUUAACUACUUUGUAAUUUAACUAAUAUUUACUUUGCUCCCCCGACCCCUGUGGUUUAAAAAGUUAUAUUUAAUUAUUCUGUCUGUAUCAAAAAAUUUAUUUUGCUAUCUUAUUUAAUAGUAGCUAGCUUUUUUGAAUAAAAUUAGAGAUAAAAUCACAGGAUUAUUAAGUACAUGUUUUUUGAAUUACAGGGUGAAAAAUUAGCUUUAUAAACUAUAAAAUAGUAAAGGGCGAUAAGUAUUUUUAAUGUUAUGUAGUUUAAAAAGUAUAGCACUUUAAUUAUUAUCGCGCUUUUAGCUUUGCAUAUUUGUCAAAAAAAAGUAAAAUUAAUGAAAGUCUACUAUAAUUAAAACUAAAAAGAUGUUUAUCUUUUCGAAUUUACUAUGUUAAAUAAUGUAAAAGUCUAGCAAAACUCGAACCGGUCAGAAUCUUUCAUUCUGAUAUUUAUAAAAUAAUUAUUUAAUUAUCUUCAUGAGCUUUAUUAAAGAAUGAUAUAUAUAUUUUUUUGUAGAUUUGUAUAUUAAUUCAACAUACCAAAUUAACGUUGUAGUGAAAAUAACUGCAGCAGCAGCAGCUAUAAAUAUAAUUAAUUUCUAAUUAAGGAGGGUACUGUACGUACAUGGUGCAUGAACUGGAGCAUGCAUGUACAGAGGAAUUAAACUAACCUACAGUGAGUCCAAUGAUGAAGUUCUAAAGUUUUCUCUUGAGAGAUCAUGAGGGCCUAUAUUAAUUAAACUGAUCAUAGCUAUAUAUAAAUAUAUAUAUAUAUAUACUAGUAAAAUAUACGUGCAAAUGGACGUAAUAAUUAUUAGAAAAAGUUAUAAUUUUUUUAAAUUAUUUUUUAAUUUUAGGCCAUAUUUUAUAUGAUUGCCAAAUAUGUAUCUAAAAAAUUUAAAAUAAUAAAUCACGCUAUUAAGAAAUAUAUGCUUUAAAUGAUAAAUAAUUAACAAUAAUCUCUAAUGCAAAAAUUACUUUUGAAAUUAAAUAGAAAAAUAAAAUCUGUUAGGAAAUAAAUUUUUGAAAUUAAAUAGAAAAAUAAAAUCCGUUAUCUUAAAAAGAAAAUAUAUUUUGAAAUUAAAUAGAUAAUAUCUAAAAAAGAUAUUUUAAAAUAAAAUAGGAAAAUAUUUUUUAUAGGAUUUUCACACCCGUAAUCUGUUAUAGAUCAACCUACUUUUGAAAUUAAAUAGAAAAAUUUAUAUUUUUGGAUUUUCACAUCAGUAAUUUAUUAUAAAGCUACUAUACUUAUAUGAGUAUAGAGCCCUUUGUACUCAUAAGUUUUCAGCCGUUCAGAUGAAAAAAUAUACGCUUAGAAUGAAAGUGGUUACGGUUAGGUUGAUAGUGGGCCCCCUUAGGGUUGAGUGGGUGGUUGGUUGAAUAGUAUAAUCUAACGGGUGAAAAUGACUAAAGGGUAGAUCUAACGGUCAAAAACUUAUAAGUACAAGAGGCUCUAUAUUCAUAAGAGUAUAGUAGCCGGACUCUAUAUAUAUAUAUAUAUAUAUAUAUAUAUAUAUAUAUAUGCAUGCAUGGGCAUAUGGGAUGGCCCUUUUGAAUUCCUUCCCUCUCCUUUACUUAAUUCACCCCUCCAUUAUUGCUACCUAGGAGCUAGCUCUCUAGCUAUGUACAUGUCUCUUUCUUUUUCUUUUUCUUUUUUUUGGCCUUUUCCUUUUUUUUCUUUUUCCUUGUACUUUGGAAAUGGUGGAGGACAUAACCUUAAUGCAUGGCCUGCAUGGGUGUGUGUCAGUGUGGCUCUUGAAAGAAUCUUCUCUUCUAACAAAUUCCCUAUGGACCCUUUGAAACCCUAGGGACAAAUUAAAGGGAGGGUCCUGCCAUGUUGUUUUGUUCCUCUUGUUGGCCAUUUACCCCUUUAUUAUGGGCUACCAAGAGGAAUUCUUAUAUAUGCCAAAUAAUGUGAAAUAAUAAUCAUGCAUGUGCAUGGUUAAUUUCCAAGAUUUUACAUAUAUCCAAUGCAUGUACUUAUUAAUUUCAAGAUGUGCGUGACUUUGAAUUAAAUGAGAGGAAAGUAAACGAGACUAGAAGCUCGAUGUAAUUUGAACUUCGCAUCUCCUGCUUUGAUAUCAUGUGAAAUUGUUCUCUGAAAACUUAAAGUUAUUAGAAAAGAAUGUUAAUAAUUACUUAAACUAUCAGAUAACGGUAUUUUCAAAAUUUAUAUAUAUUCGACGUUUUUUCUCACGCUUGGACUUGAAACAAUUUGAUAAGAACGAGACGUGAACUUGAAUUAAGUGGGAGUAGACUAAAUAAUGCUGAGAGGUUGACGGGAUUCUAAUUCAAGAUUAUAUUCUGCUAUGAUAUUUUUUUUGUUACAUUAAUUUGUAAAACCACUAUUAUUCUCCAAAAUUUUGAGCCACCAGAAAAUAGUAUUUUUAAUAUUUAUAUUCAAUAAUUUCUCUUCUCUCUCUCUCUUAUAUUUCUUUCUUUUCAUGUAUAUAUUAAGAUUAUUUCUUGGUUCUUCUAUUAAAUUAAUC